RNAcentral lists this long non-coding RNA (74114 nucleotides) under Gossypium barbadense (sea-island cotton). RNAcentral describes it as "long non-coding RNA (GBAR_LNC017668)". The stretch from base 40065 to 40209 matches the Rfam family "MIR7502 microRNA precursor family". The record is from RNAcentral. Lineage: Eukaryota; Viridiplantae; Streptophyta; Magnoliopsida; Malvales; Malvaceae.
UCUCUUCCCAUCCCACCUCCCACCUCCCAUCUAUCCCAAACCCUCCCCCCUCCAAUUUUUUUUUUAAUAUUUUCCCUCCAAAAUUUUACUCCCCCUAUUUACUUUCCCUCAAACUUUUAUUCCCCAAAACUUUUUAUUUUCCCCCUAAACUUUUACUUCUCACCCUUUACUCUCAAAUAAAAAAUCAAAAUUAUCCAAAAAAAAAUCACUAAACAUAAAUAGUAAUAAUUUUAUUUAUAUAUACUAUUUAUAUUAUUAAAUUAAAUUUCACAUUUUAUAUUAUUUAUAUUAUUGAAUUGUUUAGUCAUAUUUAAUAUUUAUAUUAAAAUUGAAUUCUUAAUUAUGCCAUAAAAUAUUCGUGUUAAAAUUUUAUAUUAGUAUCAAUUUCAAAUUUUAUUUUUAAAAUAAAUUUUAUUAAAAAAUCAUAUUUUUAUAUUUAAUAUAUUUUUAAUUCCAAAAUACAUAGUGACAAGAAUCCGAAGAUAAUUGAAACAACUAAGCAAACAAAUAAGCUAACCAGUAUAUAAAAAAUUAAUAAAUAAAUUAUGAGGUGAUGAAAGUUAAUAAAAAAUUUGAUUAAGGUGGACAAAUUUUAUUACGAUGGGUGACAAUGGUUAAAAGGACCCAAAAUUAUUUUUUAAAAUUCAACUCGAACAAAUAUAUUCGAUUCGAUUCGAUUCGAAUUCCAUCUCACUCGACUCGAUUCGAGAAAACUUAAAAUAAAGUUAGGAUGAUAAAAUGAGAUUCGAAAACUCGAUUAACUCGAAAAUUUUCGAUUCGAUUCGAUUCGAUCGAAUGCUCACCCCUACCUGAUCUGGUUCUACCCCCAAAAUUCAAUGUGCCAGAUUUUGAGAAGUAUGAUGGAACAAGAUGUCCAAAGGUGCAUCUUAUCACAUUUUGCCGAAAGAUGACUGGUUAUGUGAACGAUGAUAAGUUAUUGGUACACUGCUUUCAAGAUUGUUUGGCCGACUCAGUCCUUCGAUGAUAUAAUCAACUCAGAAGAGAGAGAAUCCGAUCAUGAAAGGAUUUAGCAUCAGCAUUUUGUGAGCAAUAUAGGCAUGUAUCGGAUAUGGUGCCUGGUCGAUUAAUUUUACAAAUGAUGGAAAAGAAGCUGACAGAGACUUUUCGGCAAUAUGCACAAAGAUGGAAGGAUAUCUCUGCUCAGGUGGAGCCCUAAUUAACUAAGACAGAGAUAACGGUCCUCUUCAUUAAUACUCUGAAAACGUCAUUUUACGAUAAAUUGGUAGGAAGCGCCACAAAGGACUUUGCAGAUAUUGUAAUAUCUAGGGAGCUUAUUGAAAACGCCGUCAAAAGCGGGAGAAUAGAGGGCCCCGAGGGUUCGAAGAGGGCAGACCUAUAAAUAAAAAGGAGGCAGAGGCCCAUAUGAUUGGAACCGAGAGCCACUGUGCCUCCAAUUCGUACCUCGCCCAAUCACGACCUCAUUAUCGCCCACCUUCAAACUUCUACUUUCCUCCUCAAUGUCCCUACUAUCAAGCACCCCUGUCUUACCCUGUUUAUGCUAUGAAUAACCAAAAACCAUUCAUAGUGUUCCCACCAAACACCAUGCCUACACAAAGCCAACCCAAAAAUGAACAAAGACCAGCAAGACCCAAUCUUGAAAGACCUUAGUUUACUCUAAUUCAUGUAUCAUAUAGAGAAUUAUACCCGAAGCUGUUGGAAAAACAAUUAAUAUCCCCACAUUACAUGGCACCCUUGAAGCCUCCAUACCCGAAGUAGUAUGAUCCUAACGCUAGUUGUAUGUAUCACGCUGGAAAUCAGGGGCAUCCUACAGAAAACUGCCUUGCCUUUAAAAUGAGGGUUCAAGGUCUCAUCGAUGCUGGUAUUCUGCGAUUUGAUGGUGUUAGCAAUAUGACGAGAAAUCCUCUUCCUAACCAUACUAUCGGGAAUGUAAAUGCGGUGACAAAUGAAGACAAUUGGCAAACCAAAAUUUAUGUUACCGAAAUAAGGACACAUUUGCGGAAGGUGUGGGAGAUGAUGAUUGAAAAUGGCUUGCUCUGCACGCCUAGUAGGAUUCUCAAAGAAGAAGGUAAAAAUGACCAGAGUUUCUGUGAUUUUCAUGGCAUCGAAGGGCAUGAUAUCCAAUCAUGCAAGCAAUUUAGAAAAUUACUUCAGGACAUGAUGGAUGACAAGGAGGUCAAAGUCUUUGAUAGGGUGGAAGGGGCCGAGGAAGGAGAAAUAUGUGCCUUUGAUGAUCAAUCAAUGGCUUUCUUUUAUAGCAUCGAUAGACCUUUGGUGAUUUAUUAUGAGGUAAAGAAGGAAGAAGUUAGUCGAGAAGUUAAACCAAGUUUGAUAAUCGAAGUACCUGCUCCUUUCUCUUACAAGGACAACAAGGCAGUGCCGUGGAAGUAUGAUGUCAAUCUCGUUGUGCCUGAAGGUGAAAAUUCAAAAGUUAUGAAUGAAGAUGUCAGUGGAGUAGGACAUUUUACUCGCAGUGGAAUGUGUUAUUCUCUCGAGACGGUUGAACCAAAGAAGAAAGUUGUUGGCCCGAGCCAAAAAGGAAAAGCACCAAUGUAUGAGGUUGAGGAUGAUGUUGAAACACAACUUGAGCAAGAAGUUAAAAAGGCUGUGAAUGAGGAGGAAGCACAUGAGUUCUUAAAUUUUAUUAAGCACAGUGAAUAUAACGUUGUAGAACAAUUAAACAAGCAGCUGGCCCGAAUCUCGGUACUAUCUCUAUUGUUGAACUCGGAGCCACAUCGAAACGCAUUGCUAAAAGUGUUAAAUCAAGCUUAUUUGGCAAACAAUUUAUCUUUGGAAAAGCUUGAUAGGUGGGCAAAUAAUCUAAAUGCAGAUAAUUUCAUCUCUUUUAGUGAUGACGAAAUACCACCAAAUGGUAGGGGCUCCGUAAAAGCAUUGCAUAUCACAACCAAUUGCAAAGGCUACAUAGUACCAAAUGUGCUCAUUGACAAUUGAUCUGCACUCAAUGUUAUGCCUUUGGCCACGCUUUCUAGGAUGCUAGUUGAUAUGUCUUAUCUGAGGCCAUGCCAUUCUAUAGUAAGGGCAUUUGAUGGGACACGACGAGGGGUCAUGGGAAAGAUCCAAAUUCCUCUAAAAGUGGGGUCAUGUGCAUAUGAUAUCGAGUUCCAGGUCAUGGAUAUUACGCCUUCAUACAAUUGCCUUUUAGGAAGACCUUGGAUCCAUUCUGCUGGGGCAGUUCCUUCAUCUCUCCAUCAGAAAGUAAAGUUCAUCAUGGAUAGCCGCUUGAUUACUGUCGCUGGUGAGAAAGACAUCGUCGCAUCUAUCUCUGCUGAUACACCCUACAUCGAAAUAAGCGAAGAUGCUGUAGAAUGUUCUUUUCGCUCCUUGGAAUUUAUUAAUACUGUAUUUGUUGCUGAAGGGAAUAAGAUCCCAAUUCCCAAACUGUCGAGAAAUACCAAGAUGGGAAUUAAGCUAACUAUGGGAAAAGGAGCUCGAGCGAGGAAAGGCUUGGGAAAAUAUCAACAAGGGAUGGUUAGAGCUUUGAAACCAACGCACCACAAGGGUCGAUACGAUUUGGGAUUCAAGCCAGAUAUACAUCAAAGAAGAAAACAAUUGCAAAAAGAUCGAGAAAGAAGAAUCGCGAGAGCUUCAGGCUGGGAAUUAGAAUGAGAGUCAUUGGCGUAUCCUCCUUUGUCAAGAACAUUUACAUCAGCAGGAGUGAUGUACCCAGAGCAGGACAAUCCGGAAGUCACAUUAUUGAUUGAAAAGAGUCUUCAGAAUAUCAGCCUGAAUGCUAUUGACAAUGAGAAUGAUGAAAUUAAGAAUGCUUCAAUGAUACGCCCUUGUCCUCCUGGAUUUGCUUUGAACAACUGGACUGCUGUGGAUCUCCUUAUAGUUUUUAAGUCCCCUUCAGAGUAAUGCCCAAUGUUAACCCUUCAUUUUGUGUGUCCUUAAACAGUAGGGUUCCUUUUGUAAGAGCUUAUGUUUGCUCUUUAUCAUUUCAAUGAACAUUAAUAAAUAUGCAUUUUAUUUUAUAUUGUCGUGUUCUUUUCAUUUCCAUUAACUUCGCGACUGCUCAUUCUAUUCAUAUCUAUUUCCGGUAUAUGUCUCAUAUCAUCUCAUAUCAUUCUGUAUUGAUUCCAAUACCUCAAUGCUCUUCUAUAGCUUUUUUCCAUUCACCUUUCAGGCGCUCAGAUAUCAAUGGCAUGAAUAAUUCCGUUAUGAGUCCUGAAAUCAAUUUUGAGAAGGCUGUUUGUUUAGGAGAAUUUGAAGCUGACGAAAAUGUUGAAGAUUGUGUCUCGUCUCCUGGCUUACUGAGAAUGAUAGAAUAAGAAGAGAAACAGAUCCUACCCCAUCAAGAAUCUGUUGAGGUAGUAAACUUGGGGAAUGAAGAAAAGAAACAAGAAGUGAAGAUUGGGACUUUCAUUUCAGAAAACACCAGGCUGGAUUUGAUCGCCUUGCUCCAUGAGUACAAGGAUGUGUUUGCCUGGUCUUAUCAAGAUAUGCCAGGGUUGAACACAGAUAUUAUGGUCCACAAGCUCCGACUGAAACCAGAAUGCAAGCCCGUUCAGCAGAAAUUAAGAAGGAUGAGACCCGAAAUGCUGUUAAAGAUAAAAGAAGAAGUCAAGAAACAAUUUGACGCUGGCUUCCUACUAGUCUCCAAGUAUCCAGAAUGGGUAGCUAAUAUAGUCCCAGUGCCGAAGAAAGAUGGCAAGGUGCAAAUGUGCGUGGAUUAUCGUGAUCUGAAUUAAGCAAGCCCUAAGGAUAACUUUCCUUUACCACAUAUCGACACUUUGGUGGAUAAUACGGCAAAGCAUUCUCUGUUUUCUUUCAUGGAUGGCUUCUCAGGUUAUAAUCAGAUAAAGAUGGCUCCCGAGGACAUAGAGAAAACUACAUUUAUAACAAUAUGGGGAACCUUCUGCUAUAAGGUAAUGCCGUUCGGAUUAAAGAAUGUUGAGGCAACAUAUCAGAGAGCCAUGGUGACGUUGUUCCAUAAUAUGAUGCACAAAGAAAUAGAAGUUUAUGUUGAUGAUAUGAUUGCCAAAUCUCAGGAAGAAAAAUAACAUGUUGGAAAUCUCAAGAAGCUGUUCAAAAGGCUAAGAAAGUUCCAGUUGAAGCUUAACCUGACCAAGUGUACGUUUGGGGCUACCUCAGGAAAACUGCUGGGUUUCAUUGUCAGUGAGAGAGGUAUCGAGGUUGAUCCAGACAAGAUAAAAGCUAUACAAGAACUGUCUCCCCCGCGCACACAGAAAGAAGUCAGAGGAUUUUUAGGAAUGUUGAAUUACAUUGCUUGAUUCAUUGCUCAAUUUACCAAUCAGUGCGACCCAAUUUUUCUACUCCUUCGAAAACAUAACCCGGGAGAAUGGAACGAGGAGUGCCAAGUGGCCUUCGAUAUGAUAAAACGGUAUUUGUCUAAUCCUCCUGUGCUAGUACCGCCGACCCCUGGAAAACCCUUAAUAUUGUACCUGACCAUGUUUCAGAACUCAAUGGGUUGCGUACUGGGACAACAUGAUAAGUCAGGGAAAAGAAAAAAGGCAAUUUACUACCUCAGCAAGAAGUUCACAGAAUAUGAGGUGAAGUACCCUUCAAUUGAGAAGUUUUGUUGUGAAUUGAUUUGGACGGUUCGAAGGCUCAGACAAUACAUGUUGUAUCACACGACAUGGUUAAUUUCAAAACUGGACCCAAUAAAGUACAUGAUGGAGUCACCUGCACUCUCAAGGAGAAUGGCCUAAUGGCAGAUCCUGUUGACUGAGUCUGACAUUGUAUAUGUGAGCCAAAAGUCGAUAAAUGGAAGCGCAAUAGCUAACUUCUUGGUAAGUCGAACAACAGAGGAAUACGAACCUUUGAGAUUUGAUUUCCCAGAUGAAGAUUUGAUGUGCAUUUCAGAAAAAGAAGGCGAGUCAUCGAAAGAGGAAUCAUGGAAGAUGAGCUUUAAUGGUGCAUCAAAUGCAUUGGGGCAUGGGAUCGGAGCAGUCUUAGUGUCAUCUGAAGGGGACCAUUACCCACUCAUUGCCAUAUUGAAUUUCUUCUGUACCAAUAAUAUAGCGGAGUAUGAAGCUUGCAUCAUGGGACUUCGUGCAACUAUCAGGAGGAAAAUCAAAAUUUUAGAGGUACACGGGGACUUAGCAUUAGUCAUUUAUCAAAUUCAUGGAGAUUGGGAAGUGAGAGAUCCAAAAUUAGUCAAGUACCACGAUCUCGUUGCGAAAUUGGUCAAAGAAUUCAAAGAAAUGACUUUUAACUACUUUCCACGAGAAGAGAACCAAUUGGAUGAUGCUCUGGCCACCUUGGCUUCAAUAUUCAAAGCAAACAGAGAAACUGAAAUAAUGCCUAUCCAAAUGAGCAUAUAUGAGACCCCCGCACACUGUUUUAGCAUUGAGGAGGAGUCAGAUGGACGACCAUGGUUCCAUGAUAUCUUGGAGUACAUCAAGAAUCAAAGGUACCCCGAGCAGGCAAACGAGAAUGACAAAAGAACAAUCAGAAGAACGGCUAUUAGAUUUGUUCUUGACAGGCAUAUUCUAUACAAAAGGGGAAAAGAUCAAGUGCUCCUGAUGUGCGUGGACGCUGUUGAAGCUAGAAAGAUACUUGAGGAGGUUCAUGAAGGAAUUUGUGGAACACGUGCUAGUGGUUUCACCAUGGCCAGGCAGAUUAUGAGACUUGGUUAUUAUUGGCUGAUGAUGGAAAGGGAUUGCAUUGGCUACGCACGAAAGUGGCACAAAUGUCAAAUUUAUGGCGAUAAAAUUCAUGCAGCUCUGUCGCCCCUUCAUGUCAUGACUUCUCCGUGGCCAUUUUCUAUGUGGGGCAUGGAUAUUAUAGGGCCAAUUUCCCCGAAAGCUUCCAAUGGACAUCGAUUCAUCUUUGUGGUUAUAGACUACUUCACAAAAUGGGUAGAAGCCACUUCGUUUGCUAAUGUGACGAAGGCUGCAGUCUGUAAGUUCUUAAAAAAGGAGAUCAUAUGUCGAUAUGGUCUGCCUGAAAGAAUAAUUUCAGAUAAUGCUUUAAAUUUGAACAACAAGAUGAUGAAAGAAGUAUGCGAGCAAUUUCAGAUAAAGCAUCAUAAUUUUUCACCCUAUCGCUCGAAUAUGAACGAAGCAGUAGAAGCGGCUAAUAAGAACAUUAAGAGGAUUAUCGGGAAGAUAACUAAGACAUAUAAAGACUGGCACGAGAAGCUAACAUUUGCUUUGUACGCAUACCGCACCUCUGUGCGAACAUCUACGGGGGCAACUCUUUUUUCUCUAGUCUACGGAAUGGAAGCUGUUCUGCCCAUCGAAGUGGAGAUCCCAUCCCUACGUGUCUUGAUAGAGUCAAAACUAGAAGAAUCAGAGUGGGUUCGAGCUCAAUACAACCAGUUAAACCUUAUUGAAGGGAAACGCUUGAAGGCAAUUUGUCACGGACAGAUGUACCAGAAAAGAAUGAUCACGGCCCAUGAUAAAAAGGUGCGUCCAAGAGAAUUCUGCGAAGGAGAGCUAGUACUAAGAAAAAUCCUCCCGAUACAAAAAGACUUUCGAGGAAAAUGGUCACCAAAUUGGGAAGGGCCAUAUGUUGUAAAAAAGGCAUUUUCAAAGGGGGCUCUAAUUCUCACUGAGAUGGAUGGGAAAGAAUUACCUAAUCCAGUGAACUCAGAUGCUGUGAAAAAAUAUUAUGCCUAAAAAAACAAACAAAACAAAAAAAAAUAAAAAAGGAAAAAAAGGAAAAAGAAAGAAAAAUCAAGAUGAAAACCUGAAAAGGGCGUCUUGAUAAACAAAAAGGAUUAGGAUGAAAACCCAAAAGGGCAUCCUAAUGAAGUGGGCUCGGGCUUAAAGGAGCAAAGUGACUUGAACGAGAAGUUGAAUGACGAGGUUGCAAUAUUCGAAGCAUUCUCAAAAGCUCGAAAUCUUUUACAGGAGAAGCUGUGCUUGGAAAAGAUCCAGACGAAGAAACGUGGAGAAGUUCAUGCGUUGGAUAUCUAAAGCAUUUGUAGCCAUUGGAUUCACUUUCUUUUCUUUGUGAUGCUUUCUUUAUUGAACUAUUCCUUGUCAAUUUUCUUUGUUGCUUUUGAAAUAAUUUGAAUAUGAGGUAUUUCUUUCAUGCCUACUUUGCCAUUUUUCAUGCAUCUCGUGUUUGAUUCAUUUAACUGAUAAAUGGUAAGAUGGCAUACUCUAAACAAAAGGAAUGUUGAGCAUUACUUGGAUGAGAAUUUAAUAAGUAUGAGGGCCCCAAAGCAAGAAAAAGUUCAACAGGGGGCAAGAGAGUGAUAUACGAAGAAAUGUGGAUUAUUCGCGAAAUUUGAAGAUGAAUACAAAACCUGAGAGAAAAGUCAAGGAUUGAAGCAAUGAAUGCAGUCCCUCACGAAAAGAGAGGGAAUGUGACAAACAGACCCAGGGCGCAUGGCAUGAUCAUGUAGGCAUAAAAGCAUUUAGAGCAAACACGUGCAUAUCAUGAUAACAUUGUACAUGACAUAUACAGGUAUCCCAGUAGAACAAGGAAUAUUGGGAGAAAGCUGCACAGAAUCAAUUAAGAAGAAGGCUUUUAGUUUCACCUGAUGUUUUUUGAAAGAAAUAUUUUUCAAUUUCUGUUUUUUUUUUUAAAAUCAAUCAACUCAUAAUGCAAGAGGUGAGUUGAGCCUCGGGUCGCAUGCCGAGGUAUUCUUUUCAAUUUUUACUUUUCAAAAAAAUCAACUCAUAUUGCGAGAGGUGAGUUGGGCCUCGGGUCGUACGCUGAGGUAUUUUUCAAUUUCUGUUUUUCAAAAAAAUCAACUCAUAAUGCGAGAGUUGAGUUGAGCCUCGGAUCACACGCUGAGGUAUUUUUCAAUUUCUGUUUUUCAAAAAAAUCAACUCAUAUUGCGAGAGGUGAGUUGAGCCUCGGGUUACACACUGAGGUAUUUUUUAAAUUUUUGUUUUUCAAAAAUCAACUCAUAUUGCGAGAGGUGAGUUGAGCCUCGGGUCGCACACUGAGGUAUUUCUUUUAAAUUUCUGUUUUCAAAAAUUAACUCAUAUUGCGAGAGGUGAGUUGAGCCUCGAGUCACGUCGAGGUAUUUUUCAAUUUUUGGUUUUCAAAAAAAUCAACUUAUAUAGCGAGAGGUGAAUUGAGCCUUGGGUCAUAUGCCGAGGUAUUUUUCAAUUUCUAUUUUUCAAAGGUCAACUCAUAAUUUGAGAAGUAAGUUGAACUUCAGAUCGACACCAAGCUAUUUUCAGUUUUAGGCUUUCAAAAAAUAUAAACAAAAAAUAUAAUAAUUUUGGACAAUCGAACAAAAUUCAGUGCUUUUAAGUCUUUGCUCUAUCCCUGUUUCACAGCGAUAAGCAAAGAGGGGCAGCUGACAUCACUGAAUUUUGCCCAGUUAGGGUUUUGGGCUAGUUUGGUCUCGUAUGGGCACAAUGAUUGGGCCCAAUAGGUUUUAAUUUUGGACUUAUUUUAGCCUAUUUUUAAUCUUUGUUUUAAAUAUUAAUAAAAUAGUAAUAAUAAAAUUUUGAAAAAAAAAACAAAAAACGAAAACAAAUUACAUUUUAGCCCCCGAACUGUUUAAAAAUUACAUUUUGACCCCUAUUUUUUAAAAAUUUAGAUCUUAACCCCUAAUAAUUUGUUAAUUACAUUUGGGCCCCUAAACUUUCUAAAAAUUACUUUUUGGCCUCAUAUUUUCCUAAAAUUGCACUUUUACCCCAGAAAUUUCGCACCUUCUGCAGUUUGGUCCUUUUGGACUUGUCAAAUCGUCGCAACCAGCAGGCCAGCUCCAGCAGCCUCCCUAGGCCAUGAUUGCUCCACUGCCACCUGAAAAUAAAGAAGAAGAAGACAAAAUUGAAGGAUUUAAAAGAAGGAAAAAAGAGAAGAAAUGGGGAGAUUUGAGCAGCCAAGAAAAAAACAAAAAUUUUAAGCAAAAAUAGCAGCAAAAAAAAGGGCCACCGCCACCGUCGAUCUCGCACCGCCGCACCACCGCUGCAUCACUACCAUCCCAACACCCAACAAAGCAACUAGGAAGUAAAAAAAGAAAAAAAUAGCAAGGAAAAAAAGAAAAAACAAAGGAAAAAAGAAAAGAAAAGGGAGAAGGAGGAGCACCACCGUGGCCGUCACACUGCCAGGCAGCAAGGCGUCGUCGGCGAAAGCAAUGAAAGGGGGCUGAACGGGAAAGAAAGAAAGAAAGAAAAAGAGAAAAAAGAAAGAAGAAGGAAGAAGGAAGAAAAAAAAGGAGAAAAAAAAACUAAUAGUCCGGUCAAACCGACCCGACCUGGAAGCCGACCUGACCCGAUCCACAACAGACCCGCACCAGCAGCCCUAGGCCCGAAAAAAAAAAGCAAAACCCCAAAAAAAUAAAGUAAAAAAAAAAGAAGCAGCAGAAAUUAAUAGCAUGCCUUUUUAACAGGCCCAACAUCAGCCCAAACCCGCUAGCCCCAGCGCAGCCCAAACCAGCAGCAACAUCGGCCCAGUCCAUUGGCAGCCCAAUAAGCAGCAGCCCAACAGCAAAAAAAAAAGAAAGGCCCAAACAGCCCAUAACAUUGGGUUUGGUAAAUUCUUGAUUUCUUAAUUUUGUCUAAAUAUAUAAAUGUUGUUUCAUUUUUUAAUAUUUGUUGCACAUUUUUAAGUAUUUUUAUUUUGUAUUUAUGUUCUUUUUUAUUUUAUUUUUUUUAAAUUCGAAUAAUUUCAAUAAAUAAGGCAACGAAUCGAUUUAACAUUAAAUCGUUGAUUUCAUCACUAUGUUGGGUGAAUAUCAUCGGUUUGUGUUAAACACGAUACGCCCUUUUAAAAAAAAUCUAAAAUAUUCUAAAAUUAUCGUGUUUUUUUAAAUUCUCGUGUUUUAAUAGAAUCACGAUUAAAUAUUAAGUUGAAUCGAUUUGGCACUAAUUCGAUGAUUUCAUCGCCAUGUAGGGAUGAAUAUCAUUGAUUCGUGUUAAAUACAGUACUUCUUAAAAAAAAAUCGUGUUUCAAAAAUUUUCGUGUUUUCAAAAUAAUUUCUCGUGUUUCAAAAAAUUCCUUGUUUUUUAAAAAAAUUUCGAGUUUUCAAAAAUUCUCAUGUUUCAAAAAUCUUCGUGUUUUCAAAAUUCCAGUGUGUCAAAAAUUUUUGUGUUUUCAAGAUUUCCUGUGUUUUCAAAUAUUCUCGUAUUUUGAAAAUUUUCUUGUUUUAAAAAAAAAUUUUCCGUGUUUCAUAAAUUUCCGUGUUUUAAAAAAAAUUUCGUCUUUCAAAAAUUUUCGUGUUUUUAAAAAAUUGACCAUGUUUCAUAAAUUUUCGUGUUUCAAAAAAAAUCCUCGUGUUUCGUUUUUUAUCAAAAAUUUUAUGUUUUCAAAAACAAAUUUUGUGUUUUAAAAAUUUUCGUGUCUCGAAAAGAAAAUUCAUGUUUUCAAAAAAAAAUUCGUGUUUCAAAAAUUCUCGUGUUAAAUACGGUACUUUUUAAAAAAAUUGUGUUUCAAAAUUUUCGUGUUUUUAAAAAAAAAUUUGUGUUUCUAAAAUUCUUGUAUUUUAAAAAAAAUUUCGUGUUUUCAAAAAAAGAAAAAGUUGUUGUGCUUUAAAAUUCUCGUGUUUCAAUCGGAUCACGACUAAUAUUAAAUUGAACUCGUAUUUUUGAAAAUGAAGACAACGCGCGUUUAACGAUAUACCAAUUUUGGGCAUCGCGAGGGUGCUAAUACAUUCCUCGCGCGUAACCGACUCCCGAACCCUAAUUUUCUCUAGAUUUUGACGUGGACCUAAAAUCGACUCUUUUUUAGAAAAUUUGAAAAAUAAUUUUUCUUUUAAAAAAGAGAAUUUAUUUGGAGUCCGAUCACACCUAGAAAAAAGAUCGGUGGCGACUCCCUUUUUAAACAAAAUCGAAACUCCAUUUUCAAAUUUUCAAUGAUUACUUCGAAUAGCGCCCGUGUCAGAAUUUUUAGGUCGCUACACAUAUUUAUAUAAAUUAAAUUAUAAUUACAAUUAUAAAAAAAAAUAUUUAAAUAAAUAAAAUCAGUAUAACUAUAAGCAGCAUAAAUAUAUACUUUUCUCUCAUUUUAUUUAUUUAUUUAUUCGAAUUUCCCAUUAUUUUUUGUGCAAUAAAAAUAAAAAAAAUCAAUUUAAAAAGGUGACAAUACCGUUUUUGUUUUGUCCUUAAUUUAAUCAUAUUUCAUUUUCUGUCCGAAGUUUUACAAGUGGAACAUCACUUCAAUUAAAAUUUUAAAUAUUUCAUAUGUAAGUCUUUAUGUGUACGGAAUUCUAGGGUUUAACUGCAAGUUUCAUCUUUUUAUUUUAUGAAAAGGAAUUUAAUCUCUUAAUUCAAUUAUUGAAAAACACGUGAACUUAAAUCAGGGGAGAGCAUUUGUUGGUUUAAACCAAUUGAAUUGACUUUGGUCAAUUUUAUUUUAGGCAGCUUUUUCAAUUAUGGGUUCAGUUUUAUUGGUUAUUUCAAUUGGUCAUCAGCUUUUGAAUUUUAAAAUUGGCCUAAUCGAAAAAACAGACUAAUUUUAAUGAUUUAAAUUCAAGCCCGAUAACUAACUAAAAACAACCCAAUUAAGCCGAUUAACCGACCAAACCUAGAGUUGGUUUGGUUACGUUUGUUCUUAAGCUUUAAUUCAAUUGGAACCAACCGAUAAAACCAAAUGCUGUCCCCUUACUUCAACUAUAGAUUUUUGCUAAUUUGGUUGCAUAUAAAUUGACGAACAAUUGAUUUUUGCUAAUUUUGUGCAUAUAAGUUGCUAAACUACUGAUUUCCCAGAUAAACAAGUUAAUGACACUAUUUAACAAUGUUACUCAAUUGAUUUAACUUCUUAAUUUUAACACGGUACAAGGAUCAUAUUCUAAUAAAUUAAAAUAAAAAGGAUUAAAAUUUUAAUUUUUAAAAAAUAGAUGGAUGAAAUUCAUAAUUAAACCAAACCCUAAACACCCGAUCAGUUGUAUUUGAAAAUUUGAGGUCGUCUUCCAUCCUAUUGUCUCGUCGCACGAAAUGGAAAUCAAGUCCAAGCCUUUGGACUUUAGCCAAACUGAGCUACUAGUGGCCAUGUGCCAGCUACAAAGGGUUAAUUGCACUAGAUGUCCUCAAAACAAUAAUUGAUAGGUUAAAUUGGUUUUUGAACUUCAAAACUUCUUAAUUGAAUCCUUAAGGUACUACUGUCAUAUCGAUUUGAUCCUUUUGUAAGUAUAACCAUUAGCUUGAAUGUUAAAUGUUAGUUCAAAUUUAACGUAGAGUAUAUUUAAAACAUGAGGAUCAAAUGAUAAAUAUAUGUGUAGCUACCAUAUGGACAAUUUGGACAUAACAUGUUAAGAAAAAAUAAAUAAUCUUGUUAAAACUCAUUGACACAAUUUUUUAAUAAGUCAAAUUCAAAUUGUCCAUAUGAUACACAUAUACACAUAUUAUACACCACGUUAGAUUCGAACUACAAUUGAUGCCUAAAUUGAUCGGUAGAUUGAUGAAAGGACAUUUGAUUGAUACAAUAUUGAUAUUUGAUGAUUUAAUUAGAAUAUUUUAAAAUUUAGGGACCUAACUAAAAUUUAAAGAUAGUUUGAAAAUGUUUGAAGCAAUUAACCCUACAAUGAAGGCAAAAACGAAGUGCUAGUAAACAAUGUGGUUCUCUUACAAACAAGUAUUGGGUCUUCAAAAGAAUUGGGUUCAAAUUUUAGAGAAAACAUUGUUAAGAAGAGUAUGGACUUUAACACUAACAUAAAAGAAACCUUAGUUCCCCACCAGAAUUCUCUUUAAAAAACUUAAAUCACGAAUUGGCACUUAAAUUAUAUUUUUUCCACUUUAAUAUUUUUUUUGUUUUAUUAUAGUACAUAAACUAUCAAUUUUAUUUAUUUUAUCCAAAAAUUACUGAUAUUCGAUAUGAAUGUGCUACGUGUUACUAAUUUUUUUAAAUUUUUGAGUAAAUUCAUACGGAAAUAAUAAUUCGAAAAAACUCAUGAAAGAAAACAAAAACAGGGCUUUAAUGUGCACGAUCAUGUCCAUAAGUAUUAUUGUUAUUUAUUGUUGAGAUUUUUAGAACCUUAUAAGUUACCCAUCAAUUAUUGGGAUUGUGAAAGGGCCGAAAUAAAAAAAAUUGGUCCCUAAACUUAGCUUUCCAGGAAAAUUUUUACUAACCUUUUCGUAUGUUGCUCUUUUAAUGCUUUAGCGUGGUCCAUAUUCUACAUUGAAAAUUUUUUAUAUACUAAUCUUUGUUAAAUCGAAUAGUAAAAAAUUUGAUGUUUUUAAAUAAAUUUUGAGCUUAUAUAUGAUUAAAAUAGUGCUAAGAAUGUUUACUUCUAAUUUAAAAUUUCGACUUGAAUUAUAAAUUUAAUUAUUAUUUUUGUUUUUAUUAUUAAAAAUUAAUAUAGAAAUAUUAAUCAGUAUGUUGUCAUUCUAACAAAUUAGAAUUUAAAAUUUUCAUUUCAUAUUUAUAUGUAUUGUGGAUAUAUGUUCUUUAUUUAAAUUAUCCUAUAAGUAAUAGCAACUUAUAAAAUGUAAAUUAAAUCAACAUUGUUAGAGUUGUGUGACUCGAACAAACCCCCAUUAAGUAUAAAACUGGACCGGGUUGCGACUGAGGGUGCGGAGGUGGUACGGACCAUGCCGCACAAGCAGUAGAAUCUGUAUAGAACUACACUUCUUUAUUUGACAUUUAUUAGAAUAGGGUUUUUCAACCUUUAAAUAGAUGUAGUCGAAACUCCUCUUAUAUCGUUCGGUUUUCAACAUUACUGAAUUUCUCCUAUUCUGGCCAUGGUUUUUUUACCGAAAGGGUUUCCAUGUAAAAUUUGUGUGUUUUAUUUUAUUUUUCUUAUUGUUUUUCGAUCGUUCUAUUGUCAUUAUCGACGUCUAUUAUCAUAAACUCAUUUAAAAUUAUUUUCACAUAUGAAGCUGAAAAAGUGUUAUUAUCAUAAUAAAUAAAUAUUAUUUAAUAUAUUAUAAUUUAAAUUGAAUUUUACUAUUAAAUAAAUUAAUUAAAAAGUUAAAAGUUCCGUGUAAAUAAAGGAAUAAUGUAAGUAAAUACUAAAAGAAAACCAGUGAAAGGGUAGGGAAAAAACACGAAAAACAUGGUAAAAGUAUCACGGAGAUUCUUAUAUUAGGAAUUAGAUUACAUUUUGCUCUAUUUACUAAAAAAAUUGAGCAAAUUAGUCCCUAUAUGUUAGAUCAAAAGCAAACUAGUCAUUCUCUUAAAAAUUUCAUCCAUUACUACUAUUAAAAACUGGUCCAUGUAUUUUAGCAUAAGAUAUACAUGGCAGACCAUGUAUAACUAUCUGGUUAUUCCAUAAAAAAUACACCAGUAGUUUUUAACAAUAGAGAUGAAUGAACUUUUAAUAGAAAAAUAAUCAAUUUACUCUUUGAUUGACAUUUUUUAAGUAAAAAAAUAAAAUACAGUUUAAUUUUUAUUAUAGAGAUCUUUGUGAUAUUUUUACUCAAAAAAGACAGACAAUUUGUGUUCGUAAUAAUUAAAUUUAAAAUUUACAUGUAAUUGUAUUGUAAUUUUAACUUCCGAAAAAAACAUAAUUGAAAAACUUUUUGAAAAGUCAGAAGAUGCUAAAUAGGACCAAGUUGAAGUGUUGAUGUCUUAGUGUCGAAAGCAAUACUAAAUCGAUAGUGAUGAGUAGUAAUAUGAUUGAUUAUUAUUAGUGAAAGAUAAUCAUUCGUUUUAGUGGAUAUUUUUAACAAUAAAAAAUAAAAUAAAUUUUUAUUUAAACCUGUCAAUUUAAAAUUUAAUAUAACUUUUAAAUUUUAAAUCCUAAAUUGAAACUCUAUAUUUGAAAUCCAAGAAAAAAAAUACUAUAUUUUUAUCCAAUAAUGAUAUAUGGUGUUAUAUUAUUUGCUAAUGGUGUAUCAAAUAUUAUUUCAAAUUAAAUUUUAUUGAGGGGAGGCUACCUCUUUUCUAUAGUGUUUUCAAAAGGUCACCUGUCGAAAGUUGAUAAACCUCUUUGUAGAUUGGUGUUAUCCGGAUAAAAAUUUUGUUUCCUAACUUUAUACAAAACUUGAGUUCAACAAACGAGAACAUAAGCAUCGUGCACCACGCAUCGGCGAAUUCAAUAAUUCCCGCAAGACGCUCGAAAUUUCGUAAAGUUGGAAAACUAAAAUCUUGUGCUGAUCCAUCGUUCCCCAUCAACAAACACUUCAAUAUCCGAAGGGAAUCCAUCACUUUUUUUAAUAAACUUAAAUUAUCUCUAAAAAUUACAACAUGGGAAAGCUUGUCAUUCCAUUUCAAACUUGUAAAUUCUCGGAGGAAAAAUCACUUCAAUUAUUACAAAUAAUCCGCAAAUACAGUCCCCAUACGGUGUCUAAUCUUCUUAGUCACUUGUCUAAAUCACCCUCUACAUGGUUCAUUUUUUCCACGACACUGAUCAGUUUGGCUACCCAGAAUUUUCCCCAACAAGAAAAACACCAUAGAUAAUAAUUACCAUAUAAACCCAAACCUUUCUCAUUUCGGUUUCUCACCAAAGCUUUUUCCUUCAAAAAAUCUGGGUUUCCAGUUUUAAAUUCAUGGCAGCCAUUAUCAUCUUCAAACAAGCUCAAUUCUUACAGUUCCUUUGCUUCUUUCUCAUCCUAUUUCCUUCUUUAGUACAAGGAGAUAGCAACUGUACGUGCGAACCUGAAACUAAUGAUUCAAAUAAAAACUCUUUAGCGACGAGAUACAAAAUCGUCGCUAUUUUUUCGAUUCUCGUCGCCGGAGCCAUUGGCGUUUGCGUUCCCCUUUUGGGGAAAACCAUCGAUGCUUUACGUCCCGAAAAAGACGUUUUCUUCGUAAUCAAAGCGUUCGCCGCCGGUGUGAUAUUGUCUACCGGAUUCAUCCAUGUUCUUCCCGACGCUACCGACAAAUUGACGUGUCAUUGCCUCGACGAACAUCCUUGGGGAAAGUUCCCCUUCGCCGGAUUAGUGGCGAUGGCGUCGGCGAUUGCUACAUUGGUGGUUGAUGUUUACGCUACUUCUCAUUACACUAAGUCUCACUUUAAGAACCAACCACGGCAGGUUGACGCCGGCAGCGGCGACGAUGAAAAGAAAACCGAGGAACGUGAUGAUGAUCAAAGCUACGUACAUGUUCAUAAUCAUGGAACGAGUCAUGGUUCGGUCUCUAUGGUCGAGCCAUCGGCUUCGUCUGAGCUUGUUCGACGUCGAGUUAUAUCUCAGGUACAAAAAAUAUGGGUUAAUUUCAUCAUAUGUCCUCAAAUUAUUCUCUAGAUUUUAAAUUAGUCCUAGACUUCAAAGCCUUUCGUCAACUUGAUUGUUAAUUUUGGUGUUAAAUGUUAAUUUGGAUAGUACGUGUAUUAUAUUUAGGACACAAGGACCAUAUUAAAAACAUAUGUAUCUAUUGAAUGAAAAACAUGUUAUAUGUUAAAAAAGAAUAAUAUUUGUUUCUUUUUUGGUACAAGCAAGCAAAUACAUUAUAAAAUGACAAAGGGAAUGAGUUUACAAAAACAAAUAUCAAACCAUAAAAUGAUCAAUUAACUUGAACUUCAUGCAGGUUUUGCUACUGAGCUAUUGAUGUGAUUGUCCCUAUUUGUUUUUUUAACUUGCCAGAUCCAAGUUGUUUAUGUGGCAUGUAUACACAUAUUUACAAUUUGAUUCAUGUGUUUUAAAUAUAUUUCACGUCAUAUCUAAAUCAGUAUUUAAUGCUUAAAUUGUUGGUUAGACGAAUUGAUAUAAUAUCAAUAAUUUAAGGACUCAAUUAGAAUGCUUAAGUUUAGAGAUCAAUUUAAAAUUUAGGUGAUAAUGUUAUAGUUGAGGUCUUUGGGUGUAAGUAAAUCAAAUAUUAUAUAUAUUACACCUGCAGUCAUAAUAAACACGAGCCAAUUGAAAAUAUGUUGAUAAUGAUAAAUUUAAUCCACUUGUUUUAAAUAUACUUUGUGUCAUGUCUAAACAAGUAUUUAAUAUCUAAAUUGACAGCUAGGCUGACUAAUUGAUAAGAUAUUGAUAUUUUGACAAUUCGAUCAUAAAACUUGGACAUUUAGGGAUUAAUUUAGAAUCUAGGUGAUGGUUUGAGGACUUUGAGAGUAAUUAACUCAUCAUAUUUAUGUUUUUGAAGGUUUUGGAGUUAGGGAUAGUGGUGCAUUCCGUGAUAAUAGGGAUAUCAUUGGGAGCUUCUAAAAGUCCAAAGACUAUAAAGCCAUUGGUGACUGCAUUUAGCUUUCAUCAGUUCUUUGAAGGCAUGGGACUUGGUGGAUGCAUUUCUCAGGUAAUUAUAGCAUGCAUCUUUAAUGUCCCUUCCAUGGUAUAAAAUUAAUUGAUUGUGUGUUUUAAUCGAGAGGAAAUUUAGUAGUUUUUUAGGGUUAAAUAUUUUAUUGAUACCCAAUAUAUUGGGACAUAAACUUGGUAAUUAUUCUUAUCUUGGGAUUUGAACUUAUUUUUGGUCCAAGUUAAUCCUUGAACUUAACAAUUAUUCUCGUAUUGGGGUCUGAACUUUUUUUGUUCAAGUUUGUCCUUGAUAUUUUCUUAAAACCCUAAAGUUCAAACCUCGAUAUAAAAACAAUUGUCAAAUUCAGGUUUCAAUAUGAAAACAAUUGCGAAGUUCAGAGACUAACAUAGAGAACAAAAACUUCAAGCCCUAAUAAGGGAACAAUUGCCUAGUUCAAGCUCUAAUAUGAGAACAAUUACCAAGUUUAAUGAUUAACUUGGACCAAAUAAAAAGUUCAAUCCCAAAUGUGGGAGUUGUUGCCAAGUUCAAGUUCCAAAUAGUGAUCUAACCCUAGUGUUUAUAUUAUGCGUAAGUUGCGGAUUUGAAAUUUUAGUCAAAUGUCAUGUCAGCUUACUAUUUUUCACAUAAUACUCACAGAAAAAAAAAACGCUAUUUUAGUUAAUAAAUUUAACGGUUACUAUUAGAGUCAGAAUUGAAAUUCCAAAAAUCAAAAUGCAUAGGGACUAAAAAUGAUCAAAUUGACUAAAUCCACAAGUUAUGAGACUAAUAGCAGAAUUUGAUCAGUUAAGUAUUAAAAUUUCAAAACUCGAACAAGACUUAAAAGGGACUAGAUCACAACUUACAAAUAAUACAUAGACUAAUAACAGAAUUUAACCUUUAAUCAAUGAUUUCUAAUUUUCUACGUUGUUGUUUUAUUAGGCACAAUUCAAGCUCGGUAGUGUUGCAAUAAUGGCACUCUUUUUCUCCCUCACAACCCCAUUUGGAAUCGGCAUAGGAAUCAUCAUAUCGAAAGGGUACGACGAUAGCAACCCGGAAGCUCUCAUUGUCGAAGGAGUUUUCAACGCGGCGUCGGCCGGGAUUUUAAUAUACACGGCGCUCGUUGAUCUGCUCGCCGCUGAUUUUAUGAGCCCGAAGUUACAAAGCAACUCCAUACUUCAAGCAGGAGCCAUUGUUUCUCUUCUACUUGGGGCUGCUUUCAUGUCUGUCAUGGCUUAUUGGGCUUAAAAGCUUGAGGGAUCAUGAGCCAAAUUUGCCCAUCAAUUUCCAAAUAAAAUAUAGCCCUAUUUUGAAAAUAGUUAAUACCAUGUAUUUAUAUUGCACUAUUAUAUUUUAUUAUAUUAUAAUAAUGUUUAAAGUAUUUUAUAUUUAAAUAUAAAUUUGAGAUAUUAAUAAUACAUAUUAUAAAAUUUUAUAUAUUUAUAUGUUUUUGUUGUAUUUUUUAAAAUAAAUUUAUUCAAUUUAUUCAAAAAGAAGAAAUUUUAAUUAUCAGUCAAAUUUCACUCUCAAUCCUGCAUCACUUUUUGUUAGGUUAAAAUAAGCUUUUAAGUCCCUAUACUUUAACUAUAUAUGAAAUUUAGUUCCUUUACUUUUAUUUUAAGAAAUUUAAUCCCUCAACUUUUCAAAUUUAAAAAAUACAAAUUCAAUUUUUAACACGAUUAAAAUUCAUAUUUAAUUGCAUAGUUAGCAAUGUGAGUAAACUUUUUUAUUUCAAAAUAUCACCAUCAAGUUUAACAAAAAAAAGUAACGAUAUUAACAAUUGGACCUGAAUUUUAAAAUCUGAAAAGUAGAACGAUUAAAUUCAUGAAAAUAAAAAUAAAAUGACUAAAUUUCAAAUUUAUAAAGAAUAUAGAGACUUAUAACAUAUUUUAAUUUUAUUAAAAUAAUAUGAAAAAUAAACAUAUUCAUUUAACUUAAUUAUUUUGUUACAUUAAUGAAAUGAAUUAAUGUUAAAUUUUGGGAGAUUAUAAUUUUAGUAAAUGUUUCUAACUAUUGUAAGAUUGUAGCCAUUGAUCUGCAUCAAUAAACGACGCCGUAAGAAAGAGAGAAGCCUGCGUAUCAUUUAGCUUUUGAACAUACGGUGCCCUUCCAUUCAUAUUUGCUCCUGCACCCGUACAAUUGUAUUCUCCAUAGAAUAUGGUCCUGUAUCAUUAAAUUAAUUACCAAAUUUAUCCCAACCCGGAAAUUUGAUUCAAUUAAUUAAAAUUUAAAUUUAAAUUCAACUUAACUCGAUUUGAACAUAAAGAUGUCGAUUAAAUAAAUUUACUUAACCUAAACUUAAAAUGAUCUGAGCUCGGAAUAACUUAAAUGACCAAAAUGAAUAAGUUGAAAUAAUAUGGAUUUAAGUGUCAAACCUAAUUAACCAAACUCAAAACAAUCUGAAAUUUGGGGCGGAACAUAAAAAGAGCUAGAGAGGGACUUGGCCCCCAAAAAAAUUGGAAAUUUAUAAUUAAGUCCUUAAAUUUUUGAAAAUUCUAAUUAAACCUACAAAAGUUAUGACGAUUUUGAUUAAACCCUUUAAAAAUCUCAUCACUUUUCUCAAAAAAAAAAAAGAUUUCUUAAAUUUUUUGAAAAUUUUAAUGAACUCCUCCAAAACUUAGUGGAACUUUCUGUCACUGUCUGAAAUCAGGGACGAAGCCAAUGACUUUGGGUUGGGACCAAGAUAAAAUUUCAAAAAGAGAAGGGAAGCAAAGCUAGUAAAUUUUGUGUUAGAUGAUUUAAAUGAAUUAAAUAAAUAAUUUUUGAAAGGGCCAAAAAUACAACUUUUUUCAUUUGACCAAAACUGAAAAGGAUUGACUUGAAUUAUUAAUUUUAAAGAAUGAUUAAAAGUACAAUUAUACCAAAUUCGAUUAUCGGAAAGUUUUUAAAAUCUAAAAUAUUGUUUUUUUUGAAUUUAUUAAUUAUUUGAUUUUCGUAUACGUACUGUGUUGAAUAUUGGCAAUAUCCCACAUUAGGAAAAGAUAGAAAGGGAGGGGGUUUGGUUUGUUAUAUAUAGAACCCCUCCCCCUUUGGUUUUAUCAUCCCAAAAUCUUCUCCUUUGUAAUAUUUCUAGAAGAAAUAUUAAUUUGGUAGUGUCCGAGGACGUAAGCUAAAUUGGCCGAACCUCGUUAAAUCUCUGGUAUUUUAUUUCUUAUUUGUUUGCUUAUAUUUAAUAGCUUUAUGUUGGUUAUAUUUAUUUAGUUAUUAUUGCUAUAAAUAUCUAAGUGAGUUCUGUCUAGUUGUUGGGUUUUAAGCGGGACCAUUUGUGACCCCUCCAAUUUAACUGGGAAUUUUCUUAGUAUAAUUGUUGGCAUAAUAAUUAUCUAAAUAUUUCUGAUAAUAUUGUUAUUAAUAUUAUCGUCGCUUCCGCAACAAUUGGUAUCCGAGCCAAGGUUUUGUAGUAUGCUCUGUGUUUGCAGCUUAGUCUGAUCUUACACAUCAGAAACAUUUCCUAAAGCUUGUGGGUAUUCUGCAUUUGGUGGCUAUUAAGUAGAAGCUAUGGCAAAAAUGACAGAAGAAAAACCAUCCAUAUCAACAACUUCCACUUCGUACAUUUUGCCGAGGAUUGGAACUGCAAAUACGAGAUUUGUAGUGGAAAUUUUUGAUGGAACAGGUCAUUUUGGCAUGUGGCAAAGUGAGCUUUUAGAUGCCCUCUUUCAACAGGGUCUAGAUAUUGCCAUUGAGGAAGAAAAACCAGAAGGGGUUGAUGAUAAAGAAUGGAAGACCAUCAACCGAUUGGCAUGUGGUACAAUUCGAUCAUGUCUUUCCAGAGAGCAGAAGUAUACAUUCAGUAAAGAGACUUCUGCAAGUAAAUUGUGGAAAGCAUUGGAGGAGAAAUUCUUGAAGAAGAACAGUCAAAAUAAGUUGCAUAUGAAGAAAAGACUGUUUCGUUUCAAUUAUGUUCCUGGUACCACGAUGAACGAGCACAUUACCAAUUUUAAUCAGCUGGUGGCUGAUUUGUUGAAUUUGGAUGUGACUUUUGAAGACGAAGACUUGGCGUUAAUGUUGUUGGGAUCGCUUCCUGAGGAGUUUGAGUACCUUGAAACUACUCUACUUCAUGGAAAAUCGGAAGUAACUUUCAAUGAAGUAACUGCUGCAUUGUAUAGCUAUGAACUACGCCGAAAGGAUAAGUUGAAAGGUUCAGGUGAAGCAGCAGUGGAAGCAUUGGUAACAAGAGGUCGUCAGCAAAGUCAGUCUAAUGGGAAGAGAAGAAAGUCCAAAGGUCGAGCUGUUGCCAAAGAUGAAUGUUCUUUUUGCAAAGAAAAAGGACAUUGGAAGAAAGAUUGUCCAAAAUUGAAGAAAAAAUGGAAGACUCCGCAAGAUGCAAAUGUUGCAGAAUGCAAUAGUGAAGCAGAGUCAGACUUUUCUCUUAGUAUGACAUCUUCAACAUUAUAUGCAGAUGAGUGGAUCAUGGAUUCUGGUUGUUCCUAUCAUAUGUGUCCCAUUCGGGAAUGGUUCUUUGAAUUUCAAAAACUAGAUGAAGGGGUUGUUUACAUGGGUAAUGAUAACACGUGUAAAAUAGCCGGGAUAGGUUCAAUUAAACUGAGGAGUCAUGAUGGAUCUACUAGAAUUUUGCGGGAUGUACGAUAUGUCCCAAAGUUGAAGAAGAAUCUCAUCUCUUUGGGGUCGUUAGAAUCUAAAGGCCUAGUUGUGACAAUACGAGAUGGAGUUCUUAAAGCAACUUCAGGAGCAUUGGUGAUGUUGAAAGGCAUAAGAAAGAACAAUCUGUAUUACUACCAAGGUAGUACAGUGGUCGGGACAACAGCAGCAGCAAUUACGAGUACCAAGAAGGACGCUGAGGCAACACAGCUGUGGCAUAUGCGUUUGGGCCAUGCUGGUGAAAAAUCCUUGCAAACUCUAGCCAAGCAAGGAUUAUUGAAAGGUACAAAGACUUGCAAACUUGAAUUUUGCGAGCAUUGUGUUCUGGGAAAACAACGAAGGGUGAAAUUUGGCACUGGGAUUCACAAUACUAAAGGGAAGAGGAAAUGCAAUCUCUAGAGAAAAACAAGACGUGGAAGCUGGCACAACUACCAAAAGGGAAGAAGGCGAUUGGUUGCAAAUUUGAAGACACUAUUGAAGUUAGUGUUAUGAGAAGAUGUUCGAAGAUGUGGAAUAUCGCCAAGGUGGAGAUUUGUUGAAUAUUGGCAAUAUCCCACAUUAGGAAAAGAUAGAAAGGGAGGGGGUUUGGUUUGUUAUAUAUAGAACCCCUCCCCCUUUGGUUUUAUCAUCCCCAAAUCUUUUCCUUUGUAAUAUUUCUAGAAGAAAUAUUAAUUUGGUAGUGUCCGAGGACGUAAGCUAAAUUGGCCGAACCUCGUUAAAUCUCUGGUAUUUUAUUUCUUAUUUGUUUGCUUAUAUUUAAUAGCUUUAUGUUGGUUAUAUUUAUUUAGUUAUUAUUGCUAUAAAUAUCUAAGUGAGUUCUGUCUAGUUGUUGGGUUUUAAGCGGGACCAUUUGUGACCCCUCCAAUUUAACUGGGAAUUUUCUUAGUAUAAUUGUUGGCAUAAUAAUUAUCUAAAUAUUUCUGAUAAUAUUGUUAUUAAUAUUAUCGUCGCUUCCGCAACAUACUGGUCUCGUGAAGGGUCAUUGAAAUCAUUCCAACCCUCGGGUGCAAUAAUAUCCGUCAUUGACGUCAAAGCGAAAACUACACGAGAAUACGGCCGCCAUGCGCGGCCGAGCCAUAUUCUUCCUGUACCACCAAUACUACAGUUCACGAACGCAAACCCACUGUCUUCAUCCGCGGACGCUCUUCCGUGUGCCGUCACUGCUCCGUUUAUGGAUUUCGAUCCCGGUGCCACCUGGUUCGCCAUGGAUAUUAACUGGCAAUCCUAUUGAAGAUUAUUGAAUCUUAAAUUAGUCGGCAUAUCGACGGUGUUUCUAACUGUUCGCUCAGUAAAACGUUGUAAUUACCUCGUAAAGGGACUUUCCGUUCCCGAAAAUGAAGUCGAUUGAACCUUGUAUAUAGCAAUCCUUGAAGUAAUGGCGGCCACGGUCAUCGUGGAGGGUGUCUUGAGCUCCGUAGAAACCACAACCCCAGAAAGCUGCUUGGUCGCCGGCGAUUCUAAUGGCCACUGCUUGUGCUCCGACAUCACCUGGACGAGGUAGAGGAGCUACAUUCUACCAUACAUGCAUAGGAAAAAUUGAAUACAUCAGAUUACAUUUGUACUCAAUUAUAUUUCACCUUUUCUAUUCAAUAAAUAAAUUCUUCCACGCUAAAAAGUAAAUUAUUAAAAAUUUAAUUUAAUUGUACAGAUGACAAAAUAACUAGACAAUAACACGUGAUGUAUAGAGAUCAAUUGUUAACAAAAUUGGUUAAUUUUUUAGGAGGACCAAAUAUAAGAAACUUUUAAAAUUAUGUCAUUCUACUUUACAAAAUUGGGAAAUUAAUCCAUUCGUUGGUAGACAGAUGAAUUUGAAUAGUUUACUUUUGCUAAUUCAUUGCACUAGAAUGUUGAUUUCUAGGUUAAUAAGUAAAUCACAAUGUUGAACAAUAUUGCUUAAUUAAAUUAACUUUUCAAUUUUUAUAAAUUAUGAGUAUCUAAUUCUUAGGAGUAACUUAUUAGUUUUAAUCCAGUAGAGGGAUGCAUUUCAUACUUAGACUAAUCUUAAUUUGUUAUAUAUUAUGUGGUUAUAAGGGUGUACAUUUUUCAAUUUUAAAUGAGUUAAACAAUUGAAUUGAAUUGGCUCAGUUAAUCGGUCGGUUAUCAAAUCUAAUUCAGUCAAAGAUCAUCGGUUAAAGUUUUUGAAAAUUUCAGUUACUAGUUAAUUCGAUUCGAAAUAAGAUAAUUAACUGAAUUAAUCAAUUAGCUAAAAUUAAUAAUAUAUUAUAAGCUCGAUAUAUUACAUAUAUAGGCUCAAUAUAGGUCCAAUACAUUAUAUAAGCCCAAUAUAUAAAAAUUAAUGGAUUUAUAAAUAUUGUUUAAAAAAUAUUAUGAAAAUUUAAAAUAUUUGAAAAACUAAAAUUAAUUUUUUUUAAAAACAACAAAAAUUAAAAAAAAACAAAAAACAAAGAAAAGUAAUAUUUUUUACGCAAUGCUUGUUAUUAUGUUUUUAAUUUAGUAUUGUUAUUAGGGGUGAGCAUUCGAUCGAAUCGAAUCAAAAAUUUUCUAGUUAAUCGAGUUUUCGAAUCUCAUUUUAUCAUCCUAACUUUAUUUGAAGUUUUCUCGAAUCGAGUCGAGUGAGAUGGAAUUCGAAUCGAAUAUAUUUAUUCGAGUUAAAUUUAAAAAAAUAAUUUUGGGUCAUUGUAACUAUUGUCACCCAUCGUAAUAAAAUUUGUCCACAUUAAUCAAAUUUUUUAUUAGCUUUCAUCACUUCAUAAUUUAUUUAUUAAUUUUUUAUAUAUUGGUUAGCUUCUUUGCUUGCUUAGUUGUUUCAAUUAUCUUCAGAUUCUUGUCACUAUGUAUUUUAGAAUUAAAAAAUAUAUUAAAUGUAAAAAUAUGAUUUUUUUAAUAAAAAUUAUUUUAAAAAUAAAAUGUGAAAUUAAUACCAAUAUAAAAUUUUAACACGAAUAUUUUAUGGCAUAAUUAAUAAUUCAAUUUUAAUAUAAAUAUUCAAUAUGACUAAACAAUUCAAUAAUAUAAAUAAUAUAAAAUGUGAAAUUUAAUUUAAUAAUAUAAAUAGUAGAUAUAAAUAAAAUUAUUACUAUUUAUGUUUAGUGAUUUUUUUGGAUAAUUUUGAUUUUUUAUUUUAGAGUAAAGGGUGAGAAGUAAAAGUUUUAGGGGAAAAGUGGGAGGGAGUAAAAAUUUUGGGGGAAAAUAAAAGGUUUUGAGGGUUUUUGGGAGUAAAAUUUUGAGAAAAAAUAAAUGGGAGAGUAAAAUUUUGGUGGGAAAUGGAUUUUGGGUAGAUUGGGGGGUUGGGAGGAGAGGGGAAUAAAAGUUUUGGGGGGAAAGCGGGAAGGAAUAAAAGUUUUGAGGGAAAAGUAAAAAGGUUUGGGAGUUUGGGGUAAAAAUGUAAAAUAUUAUAGUUUGAUAUUCGAAUUAUUCGAAUUAUUCGAGUUAUUCGAAUUCGAAAACUCAACUUGAUUCGAACUCGAAAUUCGAAAAAAAAAUUCGAGUUGAUUCGAAUAACUCGAAUAACUCGAUUCGUUUAACUCGAAAUUCGAAUUUUUUUCGAUUUUUUCGAGUCGAAUCGAGUUUUGCUCACCCCUAAUUGUUAUUAUGUUUUUUGUUCUUUUUUUUUCCUUUUAAACUUCUUUGAAUUAAAAAUAAAGGAAAAUUUGUUAUGAAUUUUUUUUUAUGAAUAAAUUUGUUUAAGAAAAAAUAUGUGCAAAUUUCGGUUAAUUUAGUUAAUCGCCUAAAUUAAUCAAAAUUAAUUCAGUCGGUUAAUAUUUAAUAGAAAAAAUUUGUUUUAGUUUACUGUUAAGAGUUUCAAAGUUUUAAUUAAUUCAAUUAAUAAUUAUUUGAUUCUAAUGAUAAUCGAACCGACUAUUUUAACUUAUUGAAUUGUGUAUAUCUCACCAUGAAGCUCAUGUUCUUGGCAAUAAAAUUGGUGGAGAAAACUUGAACUGAGCCACUAUAAAAGGUUCCAUUUGCAGAAUUUGCAGUAUCAUUCCAAGCUAUUGCUGUUGAUGUAUAUCCUUGUCCUUGAAAUGUAAUAUUGGGUUUUGUUUUUGGAAUAAUCACUUUCUCACUGAAAAAAACAAUAAAAUGUAUUUAUAUUUCCGGUUACAUCGUAAGAAAAAUUGGAUCAAUCAUUCUAAAUUCUUAUACUUUUAAAUUUUGAAAUUUUAGUCUUUAUGAAAACUACUGUUGUUAAUCUAAUAACCAAGUUUUUAGUAAUAAGUAAUAUGUAGAAAUAACAAGCUGACAUAAUAUUAUACGUAUGAUAAUAUGUUUGCCGCAUCAUUUUUUGGAAAUAACAUCAUUUAAUUGAAUGAAUUUAACAAUUAUCAUUUAGUGAUGAUUGAAAUUUUAAAUUUUAAAAAGUACGGAGAUUAAAAAUGAUUAAUUUAAAAUAUAGUGACUAAGUCUACAAAUUUCACAAAGUAACAUCACGUAAAGAUAGAGAACUCACUAGUAAAUCCCGGUAUUGAUCCAUAUUAUGCUUCUUUUCAUGCUAAGGUUUGGAACAGCAUCGACGGCAGCUUGCACGGUCGUGAAAUUACAACACCCGUUCUGAUCAACGCAAAGCGUCAACGUCGUGUUGGUUUCCGGAGGUGGUAUAUUUGGAGGGAAAUCAUCACAAACGGAUACCGGUUUACCCUUAUCGGGGUGUUUACGGUGUCGACAAAAGUCACUAAAGUCGAACGGGAUGAACUUCAUGAUGAUACAUGACGACGAUGAAAGGGUUAGACUAGAAUCAAUUAUAAUUUUGUGGAAAUGUGGGCUUGGAUCGAUGAUAAACCGGGAUAUGAAAAUAGCUAAAAUAGCAAUAAGAAUAGUAAAACAAAGGCUUUUUGGGUUCAUUGUAUUUUUUUUUUAUGAAAUAUGGAGGGUGGCAUGUGAUGUGUUUAUAUAUAAAUGAAAUAAUAUGCCAUAAACAUGGACUUGAAGUUUAAGGGUUGAUGACAUGCCUUGCAAAUCACCCUGGUUGGCUUUUGGUAAUUUUCUUGGAAGAUUUUCUCACCAACCAAACAUGAAAUGGAAAAAGUUUAGACUUCACUUUUUAGCAUCCUUUUUUGUUAGGGGUCCACUAUUGGGUUCAUUUCUUAGACUGGGUUACGGUUUUUUAAGGUUUUCAAAGGUGAAAUUGUGUUAUUAGUCCUUGUAUUUGUUUAGGUUGUAGACUUAAUCUUUUGUACUCUAAUUUAGUCGGUUUUAGCCUUGUACUUUUUGAAUUGGUCACUUUCGAUCCCUAUGCUUUUCGAAUUUUUGAAACUUGCUGGUAAAUAUGUUAGGUCAAAUUCUGUUGUUAGUCUUGUAAGUAGUAGAUUUAGUCCAUAUUUGCCAAUUUGGUCAUUUUUAGCCCCUAUAUUUUUCAAAAAUUGGUAUAUCAAUUUGAUUCAAAUGCUAGUUGGUAAAUCUGUUAACUAAAAUAACGUGGCUUUUCUAUGUGUAUUAUUUAGAAAUAAUAAUCUGACUUGGCAUUACAUACAUAUGUGAAAAUAUGUUUAUCGCAUAAGAUUUUAAAAAUAGCAUAACUUAACAAAUUUAACUAGUAUUGUUUCGUCAGGAUUAGAAUUUUAAUAUUACCAAAUUAAAAUGUAAGGACUAAAUCAUCAACUUAGACAUAGUGCAAGGACUAAUAUCAAAUUUUGACCUUUCUCAAAUUACUUCAACAAAUUGUCCUUGCUUAAGGUCUUUCGAAUUGCGUCACCAAUUUGUCCAUAGUAGUCUUUUCAUUAUAAGCUAAAAUUGUACCUAAAUGCUUUUAUAUAAAGGAAUAAAUAAUAAAUUUAAUAUUAAAUAUUUACAUAUUUAUUCAAUUCCGUCCUUAUUCUUUUAUUUGGAGCAAUUUUUUCUAUUUAAUCUGUCAUUGUUCGUAAUUUUAUUUUGUUCAAAAUUUUUCUAAAUUAAUUCAUCUCGGUUAAAUUAUUUUGUGUAGAGGCAUUUGAAAAAUAAGAAUAAAAGAAAAUUUUAAGAUAAGAUUGUUUCAAAACAGUCGUCACUUUCAAACCAACUAUAUUUAUCCAUAAAAAUAUUAGUGCAAGGUGGUUAAAUAAUGCAGCAAUGACAUCAUCCACUCGAGUUUAAAGGUGUUCAUGAGUCGGGUGAUUGGUUCGUUUUGAAUCGGGUUUAAGUUUAUAUUUUUCAAUUUUGAUCUGGUUCAACCUGACUCGUUUUAUUAUUUAAAAAUGAUAAAAAGGAUUAGUAUUUGGUAUAGUGACGAUUUACUUUUUUUAUUCUACAAGUAACAUUAAAAAUUGUCAUGUUACUCUUUUUUAUAUUUUACUAUAUCUUUAUGGAACACUUGUCAACCCCAUAUUCUGCUUGUAAAAUCUAACAAUUUAUCAAAUAUUUAUUCUAUUCAAAACUUUGACUUGGAAUUUUUUGAAAAACAAGACUUGAUCUGACCUAUAAAUAUCUCUGGAAUCACCCAACCACGAAAAUUAAAUAACUAAAGACUGAAUUCUUUUAGAAUUUUCUAAAAAGUACAUAGAUAUAACUUAUAUAAAUAAACAUAGCGGGACUAGGGUGAAGAAAAAAAAACUGAAAAUUGAAAAUUGACUUGAUUCGUGGUUUUUAGAUAUUUUUGGAAUACAAGUUAAAAUUUGAGAUUAUUUCAAUAGAACCAAAGUUUAUAUUUAUUUAAUUUAUAAUUUUUCAAAAUUUUUGUAUGAUGUAAAAAUAAAUAUUUUAUAUUUAACUUAGUGAAACUGAUUUAAAAAUUACGUGCACAAAAUUAUUUUUGAAAACUACUAUAUUAGAGUUAUUAAUUAUUUUUUAUUUUGCUUAAAAAAUUAUAUUUUAAGAAAUAUUUAUGAAAAAAAAACUUUAAAUAUUAUCAAAUGAUAUAAAAAAAAAUAUAAAAUAAAGCUCGUUUGUAAAAAUAAAUUUAAAAAUCCUUUUAAUGUUGAAUUAAGUAAAUUAUUUGGGACAAUACUUCAGCGACUAAGUUUACAAUUUAAUUAUUACAUGUGAUGUAUAAUAAAUGAUUAACUUCUUUUUGUAAAUUUGAUUAUCCGUCAUGAUUUUUUUUGAAUAAUUUUAUUAUAAAUUUUGAUUAUACUCAAAUUUUUUGGCACAAUGUCUAAAACUAUCUAUAAUCUCUACCCAACCCAUAAAUAGAAGGACAAUGUGCUUCAGUACAUUCAAACCACGCUCUCUUACAUUGAUAAUAAUAUUCAUAUCAAUCAUAAUUUAAAUAAAGUUAAUUUAUGAUUACGAUAUUAAUGUUUUGUAAAUUACUUAAACAAAUUAUCCAUUAAUUGGAAUUUGCUAAGUUGUUUUAAUUGCUUAAGUUUCAUCAUUAUUAUGUUGACAUUAAAUCUUUUUGUUAAUCAUUAAUUUUAGCACGUUCUUUCUUGUACACAACAUAACUUCAAAUGCCAUUGUGAUUAUCCUUUUUUUUUUGUUUUAAGUCACAAUCUAAAAAGUAAUAAAGAAAAAAAAUUAAAAUUAAUUGAAAUAUCUCAACUCAUAAAUAGGAGGAUAAUACGCUUCAAUGCACUCGAACUCACGUCUUCCUGCAUUGACAACAAUGUUUAUAUUAAUCGAGCUAAGACUCAAUCAACAUAUUAUAUUAAUAAUUUACUUAAAAGAAGUUAACAAUUUUGUAAGAAAAGAAAAGACUCAAUGUAUUCCACCACCGGUAAGCUUAAUCUUUUAAUAAAGAUACCGUACACUUAAGACAUUUAGCCGGUGAACAAGAUAAUUCAUCAAGAACUCUGAUAGUAUUUUCUAGCUAGAAUUUAGCUCUCUCAGGAUCAUCCUCGGCAGUAGCUCGGAAUUCUUCAGCACCGUACUUACGGAUCUUAUCAACAGGAGGCUUACCAACUCUGAUAGGUUAUGUACUUUGAGGAAUAACGGGAACUGGUUGAGGAAUAGGAGGGAGUGGAGGUUGUUGAGCAGCUGGGUUUGUUCGUACAAACUCGGUGAACCACUCAUUCAUCAUCUGGAAGAAGGCUUCUUUAGCCUCUCCUUCCCGGCCCUCAGAUACAGACCUCGUACCAUUCGAAGCUAUUCAUUAAUGGAGGCUUGAGCUUUACUCUCUACUUCAUCUGAAUCAACUCAGUUGAAUGUCAUUGCUAUAUGAAAACAUGUUUUAAAACGGUCAAGAGAUAUCACACUAUCACAGGUUAAAUAAUGACAUGGAUAGCUAGACUCGUAUAUGCUAUGUUAGUCUGAGAAUUGACUAAAUCGUAGCUCUGAUACCAAUAAAUGUAACACCCCUAACCUGAAUCCGUCACCAGAACAGGGUUACGGAGCAUUACCAAAAUUUACAAAUCAAACAGAUAGAAAAUGCAAACAUUUCAUAUCAUAUAGCAUUCAUGUCAAAAACCAAUCAAAAUCAUACAUAUUGUCCCUUAUACGAGCCAUCGAGGCCCAAAAUAUACUUUAGAAACAAGUCAGGACUAAAUCAGAUAUUUAAAUUUUUUUUUAGAAAAUAUUGAAAAUUUUCAAAGCUGCAGGGGUCACACGGCCAAGAGACACGCCAUUGUCUUAAGCCAUGUGGACAUUCGAAAUAGAGACACAUGGUCGUGUCUCAGCUCGUGUCUGUGCCCGUGUAACUCCCUGACUUGGGUCACACAGCCAAGCCACACGCCCUUGUGCUAGGCUGUGUGAGCAUAUUGACUUGCACCCUUAAGAAGAUAUAGGGGACACACGGUUGUGUCACCUGGCCGUGUGUCACACAUGGCUGAGACACACGCCCAUGUCUCUGCCCGUGUGGACGAAAAUAGGUCAUUUUCCAAGUCACAUUUCUCACCCAAUUUGACACCAACCUAACUCAACAUUUUUUCACAUCAACAAGUCAUAACAAGACAUUCAAAACAAGCCAAAAUCAAGUCUUAAACAUGAAAUAUCACCACAUACAACCAAUAUGCUCUUAGGUACCUCAAAUGACAACUUAAAAACAUGUCAACCAAGUAUCCAAACUUACCUAAAUAACCAAAUACAUAUAUGCAUAUUCAAACCACAUUUUACUUUCUUUCAUUCUACCAUAUCAGCACACAUCAAAUAUGAUAAUGCCACAUAUAUAUACAUCAAAAUAUACCAAUCACAAGCCAUAUAAGUGGCUAGCCUCAACAAAACACUUAUAUGGCAACAAUGGCCAAAUUAACCUAUACAUGCCAUUAUAACCGAAAUUAAUUAACCAAAAGUACCAAAAGAGCCGAUGGAUAGUGUGAAAUAGCUUUGAUAAGCUUCUAACUCGUACGAGCUUCUGAAUUACUAUAAAACACGAAAAAUAACACUGAGUAAGCAUUGAAGCUUGUAAGUUCGUAUAACAAAAAAAUUAACUUACCAUUUAAUCACAUUUAAGGUAAGUAUAGAAACAUAUCCAAACCAAUUUGGCCAAAAGCCUAAACACAUAUUCUCAACAUGUUAGCCAUGUAAAACACAUAUAAUAGUCAAUAAACAUAGAUGAACAUAACCAUUAAGCAAGUUCCAUAUACAUGUAUCAUCCAUUUCAUGUUUCAAAUUAUCAUGUAAUAUCAUUUCCAUGUCUUUACCUGUAAUAGUUUGUAUCGAACUCAUAUUGUCUCAUAAUAGAACAUUGCCCGUUAAACCAUUUAGAAUAUCAUUGGAUACUCGAGUAGUACACACGAGGUGUACUGAACUGAAAUUCGUCAAUUCAUGUACAUGUAUGCUCAUAAGAGCUAUGAAUCGGUAUGCUUUCACGAGCAGUGAAUCGGAAGCUCAUACGAGCUGAGAAUCGGUAAGCUCUCACGAGCUGUAAAUUGGUAAGCUCAUACGAGCUGUGGUGUGUCCGCAACACAUGCAGGACCUCAACCAAAUCGAUAACCCUAAUGACAUGUCAUUUGUAUCCUACAAAUUCCUAAGGUUCAAACGGGACUCGGUAAUUUGUCGAAUAUGCAAUCGGUAUUUAUACAUGGAAAUUAUACAAAUCACACACAUAUAAUUCAAUUUAAAACAUAUAAAUUUACAAUUUAAUUACACGAACUUACCUCGACAAGUGUACGUAGAUACGGAGGCAACUAAUCCGAUAUUUUCUCUUUGCCUCGAUCUAACUCUGUACGAGGUUUGACAGGAUCUAUACGGAUGAAUUUAAAUAAUUUCAAUAUAAUUCUCAUUCAAUUUAAUCCAACAUGAAAUUUUGGAAAAAUUACCAUUUUCCCUAUACUUUUAAUUCCUUUGUAAUUUAGUCCCUAGGCUAAAAAAUGAAUUUAAUGCAAUUUAAUCCUUACUCAAGCCUAGCCAAUUUUUAUAUAUAUUAAAAGCAGCCCAUAUGCUUCACAAAAUUCACAAAUAUUACCAUAAAUUUAUCACAUUUUUCAAUUUAGCCACUAAUUGAUGAUUUCAUCAAAAUUCUCUUUACAAAAGUUGUUUAUCUAACAACAACCAUUCAUUUUCUAUCAUCAAACUUCAAAACUCAAGUAUGUUCAUAAAUAUAAAAACCCUAAUACUUUAAAAAUUUUGCAAAUUAAUCCCCGGGCUAGCUAGAUUAAGCUACAACAAUCCCGAAAACAAUCAUUAAAAACAAGACAAAAAUACAUAACUAAUUGAGUAAAAUAAGCUUGCCUAAAUUUCAAGCUUCCAUGGCUAGGGUUUUUUUUUUUAAUUUUGAUAGAAGAUGAUGAUAAUAGUUUGUUUUAUUUAAUUUAUUAUAACUUUAAUCACUAAUUUCCAAAAUUAACCUUAAUAAUUCAUUCAAAUUUCAAAGAUGACAAAUCCAUGCUUAUCCACUAACAACCUUAAUGGAUAAUUUCUAUAUAAGGACCUCUAAUUUAAAAUUCUAUAGCUAUUUAAUACCUUUAGCUAUUAGAACAGAACCUGUGCACUUUACGCAAUUUAGUCCUUUUUAUCAAAUUAAGCAUGUAAACGGUAAAAUUUCUUAACAAAAUUUUUAUAUAGUAUUUCUAUCAUACUGUAAACCAUAAAAUAAUAAAAUAAAUUUUCUAACUUUAGAUUUGUGGUCCAGAACCACUGUUUCGAUUUCACUAAAAAUGGGCUGUUACAAAUUGGGUCAUCUAUUCAUAAGACGGUUGAAGAUAAAGUGUGGAAACUAAUUAUUUUUGGUAAGAAUAGUCCUUCUUUGUCACAUAUUUUUUUGUUGAUAACUUGUUUUUGUUUGCUGAAGCAGAUAUUGAUCAGGUUAAAGUCUUAAAGAAUGUUCUCAACAUUUUUGGAGCUACCUCAGGACAUAAAGUCAAUAGACUUAAACCUAUUGUGUUCUCCUCUAGCAAUAUGGAUUCCAACCAUGCUAAUGUUAUCUAUAGUAUUCUUGGUUAUUGUCAGAAUGAUGAUUCGGGUAUUUACUUGGGACUACCUCUCUUUCACCGAUGAAUAACAGUGAAUACUUUCAAAUUCAUUGUGGAUAAAGUUAGACGAAAGCUAGAUAAUUGGAAUGCCAAAACGCUUUCUGUGGCGGGACAAGUGACUAGCUCAAUCAGUUUUAUUAUCGAUUCCUAAUUACUUUAUGCAAACUGUGAAAAUUCUAUCUAGUAUUUGGGUAGAAAUUGAGAAAAUUGUCCGAAAAUUUAUUUGGAAGAGUUCUAAAGUCUCUCAGAAACUGACUUUGGUAAAGUGGGGAGAUUGCUGUUGUAACAGCACGAUUUUUUUACCCUAAUCGGAACAGUGGUUUCGGGACCACAAAUCCGAAUUAGAAAAAUAUUUUAAUAUUUUUUUCUGUGUUUAAUAUGUUACUAGUGUGAAAAUUUUGUGCUUUAAUUUUGCCGUUUGAGUGUCCGAUUAAAUAAAAUGAUUAAAUCGCGUAAAAUAAAAAUUUAAUGGUUAAAUAUGAAAGUGCCUAAUUGUUGUUGUCUUUAUAAUUUAGAGGUUUUAUGAUGCAAUUAGCCCACUAUGUAAGUUAGUGGGUGGCAAAGGACUAAUGUAACCUUAUUAUAUAUGUUUUAUAUAUAUAUUAGUAAAAGUUAAUAUAGUAAAUUAAUAAUAAGGUUAAUAUAUGUUUAAAAUAACAAAUUAAAAGCCAUGUUCUUCAUCUUUUGGCCGAAUUUGAAAGAAAAUAAAAGGGUUUAAAGCUUUGUUUCAUUCGGCACUUUCAAGUUUUGAUUAAGGUAUGGAUUUUGUUCGGUUUUUGAUGAUUUUUAUGUUUUUGAGAUCGUUGCUUCGAAUCUAUCCGACCCAUGCUUGAAUUUUUGAUUUUGAUGAAUAUUUUGAGCUAUGCCAUUGAUGAAUAAUUGUGUUUUGUGAUGUUUGAUAAUGAAUAACGAAAGAUAUGUUUUAGAUUAAUAUGUUUUGUAUUGGAAUUUUUGGUGAAAUUGAGUAAUUAGGGUUAAAUUGCGAAAAUAAUAUUUUUACAGACUAAAAUGUGAAAUAAAUGAAAUGUGUGGACUUUUAUGAAGACAAGGAACAUUCGGCCUUAGCUUAGUGUGGGCAAAUUUUGUGUAUUUUGUGUUUUGUGCAAAAAAGACUAAAUUGCAAAAAGUAUAAAAUGUUAGGGGCAAAAUGGUAAUUUUCUCAUUUAUGUAUUUUUGGACUUAAUUGAAUGUUUUGAUGAAUAAAAAGGUUAAAUUUUAUUAUGUUUAGAUCAAGAAACGAAGAAAACGGAUUUGGAUCGGGGAAAAACGAAAGUAAUUGAAUAGUCGAUCGUGUCCGCUGAUAUCCGAGGUAAGUCAACUAGCAAUUUAAUGUUAUUAAUUAAUAUAUAUAUGCAUAUAUAUAUCUAUUGCAUUUGGAUGAGCUCAAAUUGAAAGUAUAUAGGUUGAAUUUAGUCAAAGUAUAAAUGAUAUGUAUAUAUAUAAAUAUAUGAUUAAUGUUCGAAUAUACAUAUAUGUAUACACAUAUAUGUAAGCUCUUGAAUUUAGUUGAAGAAUGAAUAUGGCUUAUGUAUAAAUUCUUGGUUAUUAAUCGAAAGGUAUGUAUAGUGUAUGUAUAUAUAUAUAUAAGGUUCGAAUGUAUAUAUAUGUUUUGAAUUUUAUAAGUUAAAAUAAAAUGUAUGAAUUGUAUAUAUAUAUAUAUAUAUAUAUGUGUGUGUGUUAGUAUGUAUAUUUGAGUUUUAUAAGUUAAAAUAAAUUGCACAAAUUCUAUAUAUAUUUAGCCGAAUAUAUAUAUGCUGAGUUUUGUAAGUUGGAUGAAAUUUAAUGAAUUACAUAUAUGUUAGCCGAAUGUAUGUAUUGAAUUCGAUAGGUUGAAAUUAAUCAUAUGAAUUAUAUGUAUGUUAGCCAAUGUAUGCUUUGAGUUCUAUAAUUUGAAGCUUAUAGUAUAAAAAAUAUAUAUAUAUAUAUAUAUAUAAUAACUGAAUGCAUGUAUUGAGUUCUAUGAGUUGAAUUUAAUGAUAUGAACUAUAGAUAUGUUAUUCGAAUGUAUGUUUGCUACGAAGAUUGGAAUAUAAUUCGAUUUUUGCUGAGAUACGAUUAUUGAAAAGAUUUAUAUGAGAUAUAAAGAAUAUCUAGUUUUUCUUAUAAAUAAUUUUGUGAAAGACCAAUUUCAUAUCCGUGGUAUUCAGGCUCGAUGCCUAGCAGAUUUAAUGCCGGUGAAUUAUUUCAGACUUUAUGUCUAGCAGGCUUAAGGUCGGUGAAAGAAUUCAGACUUUAAGUCUAGCAGGCUUAAGGCCGGUGAAAUAAUUCAGACUUUAAGUCUAGCAGGCUAAGUGCCGGUGAUCUGAAUCAGGUUAUAAACCUAGCAGGCUAAGUGCCGGUGAUCUGAAUCAGGCUAUAAGCCUAGCAGGCUAAGUGCCGGUGAAUAUGUUAAAUUAAGUGAUUAUAUGCGUUUGAUAUAUAUAAAUAUAUAAAUGAUUUUGGGUUAUAUAUAAUGGAUAAGUAUAUGACCAUUUAUUUAUAUGUAUUUGAUGAGCAUAUAAAUGUUUGGAUUUAUGUGUUUAGUGAAUAGGCACAUAUAUUGGUUGUUAUGAAAAUUGUUGAAUAUACAUGUAUGCAUUCGGCACAUGUGGAUUACAAGUAUAAAUGUGCAUUUGGUUCAUGUAGUUGAUAAGUAAAAAUAUAAGCUUUUGACAUAUGUAUUUGAAAGAUCAUAGAUAUGCAUUCGAUGAAAUGCAAAUGAUAAGUAUAUUAGAAAUUAGUAUAUGCAAUUAAUGAUUAUGUCUGUAACUUGAUUAUAAGCAUAUAAUGUUUAUAUAUAUGUUCGUUUAUAUGUAUUUUAGAUAUGCUAUAAACUUACUAAGCUAUAAAAGCUUACUUUGAUUGUUUUUGUCCAUUUGUUUUAUAGAUAAAAACCAAGCUGCAGACUUGGGGAUCGUUAGCGAAGAUCAUCACUCUAUCUACUAUCUCGGUAUUAAAACGUUUAAAUUUUAACUUAUGGCAUGUAUAGGCUAAAUAAUAUUUUGGGAGUCGUACUUUAAUGUAUUGUAUAUAUAUAAUUAAUAGCCAUAUGAAACUAGCUUAUUUUUCUUACGGUUUAACUGAACUGAAAUGUUAUGUUUUGUUAUAAAAGGUUAAAGUAAAAUUUAUAAUUAUACUUACUUCAUAUUUGACUAAUUUAACAUAAAUGUAAAAUUUCUGAAUGUCUGUGUUAAGUUGCGUUUUAUCUUGUAACACUUUGUAACCCUAAUUUAUCGACAUAUACAGGUUAGGAGUGUUACAGCUGUUAACCUUUGCCUAAUGGAGGAUUGGGUAUCCGAAGACUUAAGGAACAAAACGAAUCCUUUUUUGCUUAAGUUGGGUGUUAAUCUCCUAACAAAAGAGCAAGCUCUAUGGGUAAGGGUUCUCCGUUCUAAGUACAAGCUCUUGGAGGAAUAUCUUGAAGACAUUUCUCGAAGCAACUGUUCUUUUGUCUGGAAAUCCCUUGCUAAGGUUUGGACACUUUUGCGUCAAAAUAUUCUUUGGACAAUUGGUGAUGGGAAUCGUAUAAAGUUUUGGAUUAACAGUUGGAUAUCUGAGGUGGAGUCGCUUAUAAAUCAUUGUUUGUUUCCCUCUCUGGUUGAUGAUUCUAUUAGGCUCCGUUAGGCUGUGGAUAUGUAGGGCAAUUGGUAUUGGGAGUACUUGUAGUGUUUUUUAAAUGAUGAUAUUCUAUCCUACAUCGAAGGAAUUUCGACUCUGACUACUCUUGCAGGCUGUGUUGAUGUUAUUUCGAGAAUGAGGCUUAUAGCAAGCUUACAAAUAACUCGUUAAAUAUGCAGUAAGCAAAAUGGAAUAUUGUUUGGUCUUUGAAUGUCCCAUAGCGUGUUGGCCAUUUUAUUUGGGUAGUGUUUAAGGGAUGCCUCUUUACGAAUGCGAAAAGGUGUAGGAGAGGACUGUCAGAGAACCCUUCUUGUAAGCUUUGUGGGAAUACCAAAGAAUCCUGUAUUUAUGUUAUAUGAGAUUGUCCUAAGGCAAAAUAAGUGUGGAUUCAGUUUAUUCCCUCAAGAAUCUUAGAUCGGUUUUUCACUUACUCUUUAGAGGAUUGGUUGCCUAUUAACUUGGCAAAUAAGUUUGAGGUUAAUUUUCAGGAUGCAGAUUGGCCAUCAUUGUUUGGGAUUGUUUGUUGGAAAAUUUAGAAACAGGGGAAUGUGUGUAUGUUCCAAGAUGGCCAUUACAACAUAGUCAGUUUGAUUCGUUUUUCAUGGUUGUGGGCUAGGUCCAUUAAGCAAAGACAGAUAAAUUCAAAGAGGAGUAAUGAAAAUCGAAGAAGGAACCAAAGAUGGGCCCCUCCACUUGUCGGUUUAUUUAAAAUAAAUACUGAUGGUGCUUGCAAUUUGAAUUUGAAUUCUACAUGGUUGGCAUCAGUGGCACGAGAUGAGCAUGGUAAUUGGAUGUGGGGAAUAGGAACAAGUAUUAGAAGAUGCGGUGUAGAAGUAUUAGAAGAUGCAGUAUAGAAGUAUUAGAAGAUGCAGUGUUUUACAAGCUAAGCUUUGGGUCAUCUAUGAUGGCCUUCAAUUAGCCUGGGAAGCUAAAUGGGCUAAUAUUAUUAUUGAGAUUGAUAGUGCGCAAGCCAUUAAAGGGGCUUAUGAAGAAGUUCGAGGACAUUCUAAUAGAUAUUUGAUUGUGCGAAUCCAAGAACUAUGCCAGUGUGAUUGGAAAGUACUUUUUAAAUAAGUACCAAGAGAGGUGAACUCGACUACUGAGUGUGAUUUGAAAGUACUCUUUAAAUAAGUACUAAGAGAGGUGAACUGGACUACUGAUAUUUUAGCUGGAUUGAUGAAAUGUUAUCCUAUAGGCUCGAGAAUAUUUCAUGUUGGCCCUUCUCAGGUUGAUGAUCAAUUGCGAAUAGACAGAUGAGUUAUGCUACCUAACACAUAUACUAUUAUUAGCUUGUAAUUAAAGCUUUUAUAUCUUCUCACAAAAAAAAAGACACCAUAGGUUCCUUGUGGCCACCGGCGCGAUCAACUUUGUACCGGCUGUUGUCUGUUUUCCUUAUUUUGCUCUCAGUUUUUCUUUUUAUUUAGUUUAGGCCUUUCUCUUUCUUCAACCUUUGAUCAGUGAUCUAAGAGGCUUUUCUCCAGCCGCCUUGUGGGGUUUCCCUCCUCUUUUGCCUAUGGUGUCAAGCUUGGUACUCUUGGCUUCUCAUUGAAAACCAUGAUCCUUUGUUUGGAUGGUGUCAUUACCACAUUGGCCCCCCUUUAGUUAGAGCUUGGCAUUCACCGGACCUGCCUAUUCGUCUAGUGACUAAGGUCGCUUCAAUUGUUGCAGGUUCUUCUUCAAUCGUAGGCUCCCAACUAGUUCCUCGAUGGUUGACAGUAUUCUUUUGGAUGGUUGUCGUAGCAUGAUCUCCUAACAGAAGAGUUCAUGUCAUCGGCAGGUGCAUCCUCCUUCGCCUCCGGCACUCUUUGGCACUCUCUUUUCCAAUGACGACGAUAGUGUAUAGAGACUAAGGUUUGUGGUCUUGUUAGGGUUGGGCUUUUCAAGCCCAUUUUAAGCUUGUAAUUUCUCUUGACUAAAAUACAAUGAUUAGAUGCUUUAACAAUCUUCUCUUUGCAAUAACUAAAUAAAAACCUUAAGGGUAAAUUCUACUAUUAGCCCUUAUAUUUUGUAAAAGUUAUGAAUUUAGUUCCUAUAAUUUGAUUAACUUUUUAAUCCCUAUACUUUUCAACUUGGUUAAUUUUAAUAAUUUUUUUUAAAAAUUUUGAAAAUUUCGUCCUAACCCAAAACAAUAAUAGGUAACUCUACUUGGUUAAAUUCUAUUACUAGUCUCGUACUAUGUGUACAGUUUUAGUUAUAUUCUACAAUUAAAUUAUAAGUCCCUACACUUUUCAAAAUUUAAAAUUUCAAUCUUAGCACAAAUGAUAAUUAUUAAUCCAUUAACUAAAUUUUUAAUGAGUAAUAUGCUAAAGUAACAAGAUGGCAUGGCAUUACAUAUAUGAUAAUAUGUUUGCCACAUUGAAUUUUGAAAAUAGCAAAACUUAAUAAAUUUGACAAUUGUUUGAUGAGAAUUAAAAUUUUAAAAGUGUAAGGACUAAAAAUGACCAAAUAAAAAUACAAUGAUUAAAUCCCCAACUUUCAUAAAGUACAAGCACUAAUAACAUAAUUUGAUCUACAAAUAUGUCCAUUCAAGAGCUAGCCUUCAUUGCAAUGAAGAAAAUUGUCUUUUUGUCACUAGCUUUUUGUUUAUUUAUUUAUUUUCCAUGGUAUGCAGUUGGUAAAAGUACCAUGGAAGUACUUGUAAGUUGGAUUGUAUUUUAUCUUCUCUACUAAACAAAUUGACAAAUUAAUCCCUAUACGUUAGACUAAAGAGCAAAUUGGUCAUUCUGUUAAGAAAUUUAUCUAUUUUUACUAUUAAAAUUUGAUCCUUGUAUGUCAGCAUGAGUUACAUAUGGCACAUCGCGUGUAAUUAUUUGGUUAUUUCGUCAGUCGCAUCAGUUUUUAACAGUAGAAAUGGAUGAAAAUUUUAACAAAAACGAUCAAUUUGCUCUUUGACAUAACGUAUGAAGAUUAAUUUGUCAUUUUUUUAAGUAAAGAGGACAAAAUACAAUCUAUUUCCUAAUUAGGGGGCCUCUAUGGUACUUUUACCAUAUAUAGUGCAAAUUAACACGUACUGAGUUCCUUGGUUAAACACAAGCUACAUCACAUAACUGAAACAAGACAUGAAAAAAAUUAUAUGACCAAAAUAUCUUUGCUACACAAACUACUUUUAUUUACAGUUUUGAACAAUCCGAGUUCGUGAAAAUCCGUUUUUAAGACCACGAAAAUAAAUUUCUGCUUCCCACUGCAACUGUUUGCACAAAAUCAGGUGAUGGUAGAUAAAAUUAAUACCAACAAAACAGUUGCAGGGAGGCAGAUCUUGAAAGAACAAAUGAAGAUAUGAAUAGUAGAGACCGGCAUUUACACCACACGUUACUCUUGCUAAUGCCAUGGAGAUAUAUAUAUACAUAUAUAUAUCAGCCUUCUUCCCAAUCUAUAUCAUCCUCGUCAUCACCUGCAGAUGCCUCCGCUUCAACAUUCAAAUCAUCGACUUUGUAAUUAUUGGUCGUAUUGCCUGAAACUGUAUGCAGGAAGAUAUUACUAAUGCAAUUUGGCUCCUAAUACGGGGCCUUCAUGAUACUUUUACCCAGUUUUCAUGGUCAUCAAAGAGAAGCUAAGUUAUACUGUGAAUAAAAUGUAAAAAACUAAUACGUACUUGAAAAGGGAUCUUCUUCCCAAUUAAUAUCAUCAUCUUCCUCAUCAUUGUCUUCACGUUUAACUUUCAUGCCAACUUGACGCUUGGUAGAGUCCGAAAGAUCAGUUUCUAAAGACGUAUCUGCCGGUUCUUGUUUUUUGUUUUCCGCUUCUUCUAGUUCUUGUUGUUUCUUAUAUAAAGCAGCAUAAUAUGCUUUAAGAUACUCAUCCUUCCAGUACAACACGAAAGAAAAAAAAAUAAACCGAGUCAAAUUCUAGUAAAACGAAAGAAAAAUGAAUCAAAGAAUAAUCAUACAUCUCAUUACACAUACCUGUAUAUUCUUCUUAUCAUCUUCCUGUACAUUCUUCUUAUCAUCAUUUCCAAUGGUUGACUUUUUGUCGUCUGAAAAAUCCGGUUGUGAUGAACUGUCUUCUGCCUUCGUCUCUUGCUUGACCUCUCCCCGUUGUUCCUUUGUUAGGUUCAUUCCUUGCUUUAUCAUCCAAGGUGGCAAAACUUUCAAUGAUGUGCUUGCACUCUCGGUUUUGACAUCUUCCUUGCUAUCAAGACCAGAAAAAGCAACUUCAACCUGUCAAGAACAGGUAAGAAGCUUUAAUAAUGAUCCAAGUUAACGGUAGAUUAUCCAACAUUCGAAUUUAAGAAAACCCAAAGCUCAAAAUACAUUGUGUGCUCAAUUUCAGGUUUCCAGCAAAUUUGAACCUUGAAAAUUUUGGAAAUGUGACCAGCAAAUACCCGGUUCAGAGUACGUAGAAAAUUAAACUAACAAUAAUUUAUGCAGUUGUAAUAUGCCAAAGUGUAGCAUCAAUACUACAUAAUCGUUAGUACAUCUUUAGCAGUUGCACUUCAUAGUAGACAUAUAGUUGAAGUAAAGCUUACCUUUGUAUCCCCAAGAAAUGGCAUCGGUGUUCCACCAUAACCCUGAGAAUUUUUAUAAGGAUCAUUAGAACCAGCACCGUUUAGAGCAUGACCAGCAGCACCUACUCGAGUUUCCCAUGAUAGGAGGGUUCCAAAUUCUGGAAUAGGCAUAUCUUUUACUCUGUUGAGUUGUUCCAUUAAUGGUUUAAGUUGUACCUGCAAUCAUUCCAUUGUCAACUCUUACGCAUCAACUGGAUAAUGUGUUUCCCAUAUUAAAUCGGCACAAAAGACUAAAUAGAUCAAGUAAAAAUGAAUAUACCUCCAUUUUCUGAAGCAUGUCCUUCAAAUUUUCACGUCGCCGUCGUCUCGCAUUGUCAUCUCCCUCUCCUACUUCUUCUGCUGCUAACUUGUCACUCUCAGCCACUAAUUCUCCGUUACAUCUUUCGCAGUGAAAAGAUUCAUCCUCCAAGGAAAUCAAUCGCAAUGCAUCUAAAGCAUUGUAUCUGAAAACACGAUUACAAAUUGACUAAAAUCAUAUAUGCAUUUCAAAUGACCCGAGCAAAGAAAAAAAGAGGACGAAAGUGAAAGGGCAGUGACAAACCGUUUUGAACAGCCUGGGCAUACAUACUCCUGAACGGUAUUUUUGUCCUCGAGUUCAUCCUUUAGUUUUUUCUUCAUACGGUGCAAUCUAUACCUAACAACAUCAUAUAUCUAGAAAACACAAUGCUUCAGAGAUUUUUCAGAUUCAGAAGCCAAAAUCUGCUCUGCAAAUGAUAAGAUGGAUAAAUGGAAAAAGAGGCCUUAUGACUUCUUAAUCCAAUCCAUUAUGGAGAAAUUGAUAUAUGCUGAUCAGAAUUGGGAAAGUAAAGAAAAAGGAAGAAAUUAAAUAACAACCUGUGCAUAAUCCAGACAACAGUAAGAGUGAGUAUGUAAUUUAACCUUCUCCUCUCCCUCUUUCCCACUUGGUUGACCAUCGACCGUCGCAGCAACUGCAGCAUUAUAUAGUUUUGCCCCUUUAGCCGUCUAUGACCAAAUCAGACAUAGAAAAAGAAAGUGAGCUUCAAGAAUUUGAUAUGCUUAGUUUAUGUUUAUAACAAGACAGUGAUGAUUCAUAACGAAUAUGAAAGAAAAACUCACAUAGAAAACUGAGUGACGACUUAGAAACAUCAGUACAGGGGAAGAGAAAAGAGGACUAUAGCAAGACUCUAACCUCUUUCCUAUAUUCACGGGUGAUUAAUUUUUCUUCCUCAAAGAGCCGUAGAGUCCGCCGAAGUUGCUUUGAAUGUAGUUUCAGCUCCUUUGCCAAGUCUUCUUCCCUAACCCAUUGUCUCCUAUAACAGAAAGCAAAAGUUGUGAAUUACAAUAACAGGCAGCUCAAUCAAGCAGGCACAGUUAGCCUGCAACACAAAACUAUUCUCGAGUAUAUAUAUAUUGGAAUCACUAUUCAUGACAUAACUAAACAUAUCUCUUACCACUAACUGCCUAUGGCACGACUUCUAGUUGAACUUAAAAAACACUUGGCAAACUACUCAGCCUAGUCUAAUUCUUCAGUUUCACCAUAUUAUACCAUAAAUAUAUUCCAAUGCCUCACAUCAAUGUGCUUUCUUUCUAGACAAGAUCACAACAUCAAUGAAAAUUCCCUUCCACAAUUCAAUUUUAAUACAAUAAAAAUGCACCCAACACAUCAUAUUUUCAUUUUAAUAUGCCUUGGUUUCACUUAAAAGGAAAAACUUCAAUGUCAACAAACAAAACCAUCUUUUCCUACUAAAAAAAAAAAAAGAAACCCAUUUUUAGUAGCUUCCAAUAGAUUAAUAAAGAAACAUUUACCUUGUAAGAGCAUCAAGUACUACAACAGCAAUCCCUUUAUUAUCACCACGACCCAUCUUAGGUUGAUUUUCUGCUUUUGUCGUCACAUUAUCAUAAAAUGCUCGAGCUGCAAGCUUCACCAACCUGGGUGUUUUUUUUUUUUUCAAAUAAUUAAAUAGGCAAAUAAUAAUAGCCCAAUUUUCUAAAAUAAUCGUUUUUGCAGUAAAUAAAGAUCAUACCUGUUAAAGGGCUCGAUGCUCAUCUUGUUACGCGAUGGGCAUUAAACAAUCUAAUCGUAAUUACCUUCGAAAAAAAACUUGCAUCAGCUGAUAAAAGAAUAUGGGUUCUCGAUAGCACAGUAAAUGAAAUCGGUUUAUACGAUGAAUAAUUCAAUGAUCGGAGAAAUUACCUGUUAAAAAAGAUAUAGCGAUGGAUGGUUGCAUUGUUUGCGCCAAAAUUUGAUAAAAAGGCAAAACAUGGCCCAAUGUAUGUGCUUAUUAAAUACACCUUGGCUUUGAUCAAAUGUAGGCUUAUAUACGGAUUUGGAUAUUUCUUUUUUCACGAUUUUGCUCAAAGUUAUACGUUUUUUUUUUUCAUUUGGAUAGUUAAUUUAUUAAUUUCUAUCUUAUUCAAUCAUCAAAACUAUUAACGUUAGAUAAUAAUAUAUCACGUGCAGGGGCGAAGUCAGAAUAAUUUUUUAGGGCCGAAUGAAAUUUUAAUUUUUUAUAGUCUAUGUUUUUAUAAUUUUUAAAUGAUUAAAUUAAAUUUUUAUAAUUUUAGGGGGCCAAAAUAUAAUUUUACCUUUAAUAAUUUAAAAUUAAAAAAAUUUAAAGGGCCUAAAUAGUAAUUUUUCAUUUUAGGGGGGCCAGGACCCCUACCGCCCCCUAGAUUUGCCUCUGAUCACGUGUUAUGUUCUUGUAGGCAACUUUUUUAGAUAAACUAGAACAAAAACGAUAGCUCAUAUACCAAAAUGCGACAAAAAAUAUUUAAGUACCAAACUAAGAAAAUAUAUAUAAUUUAAGGGCUUAAGUUGGUUAAAAAUAACUAAAUAAAAUUAUUAUAGAGCUAAAUUUGGUCUAAGUUUUGCUAUUAGUUUCUAUUUACUAAUUUAGUUCAUAUAUUUUAAUUUGGUCAUUUUUAAUUUAUAUAUUUUUUAGUUUUUGAAAUUUUAAUAAUGACUAAAUGAUAAUUGUUAAAUUCAUACAUUAAUUCAUUUCAAACCCGAAACACUAUAAUUUUAAUUUUUUAAUUUUACCAUUUCAACUAAAAUAAUUAUUUGUUAUUAAUAAUUUUUAAUUUAUUAUUUACAUUUUUCAUCCACUGACAAAAUCUAAUAUAUACAUAAUAAUGUAAAUGUUUGAUAGGUAUAAAGGUAUAAUAUUAAAUUUAACUCUCAAUGUUUACAUUUUUUGUCAAUUUGGUUCCUUUUUUUAGUUAAAUUUGGCUAGUAACAUUAAAAAAAGAGUCAAUUUUGACCAUCAACUUUUUAAAAAGAAUUGAAUUUUGUGUUUUUUAAAUGAAAGUACUUAGUAAAACGUUAAAUUUUUAAACAUGACAGCUCGCAUGACAAUUCAUAUGUACUUCUUGUUAUUUUUUGAAUUUUUAUGAAAUUUUUAUAAUUUCUUAUUGAAUUUUAUUUUUUUAAAAUGUUUUUAUAAGUUUUAAAUUAUUUGUUAAUGUGACAUAAAUGACAAAUAGUGCCAUGUUAGUAUGAAGUACACAAGGACUACCACGUGGGUUGCCAUGCCGACGUCAUUAAAAAUAAUAUUUUAGUCAAUAUUUUCAUUAAAAAAAGUUAUUUGACUUUUUUUGAAAGUUUGAGGACCAAAUUUAGCUUAAAAAAUAGAGUUAAAUUGACAAAAGAUAUAGAAUUGAGGGCUAAAUUUGAUAUUAUGCCUAGAUAAAAUAACGUAAAUGUUUGAAAGUAGUUUGAAUAGUUUUGGGCUCCAAUUGGCCCAUUUAAGUUUUAAAAUGUCUUAAAAUUACGUUUUUAGCCCGUUUCUUUACAACCGUCCGAUCAUCCUAGGGUUAACAAGCGCCGUCUAAUAUAAACAAUAUAAAUACACAAACCAUUGUCAUAGAGAAACCCUAAAACAGAGCUAAAGGGUUCGUUUCUCUUUGCGCCUUUCUUCUCUCAGCCGAAGGUUGCUCGUCUUCUUUAAUCUCAUUUCUUUCAAUUUUUGUUUUCAUUUUUGAUUGUUAUAAUUAUUUGAUAUUUUUCCCUUUUAAGCACUGUAAUUGCAGGUAAGUCAUGGUUAAGCAUAACAAUGUCGUGCCAAAUGGGCACUUCAAGAAACACUGGCAGAACUAUGUGAAGACUUGGUUCAAUCAGCCAGCACGAAAGGCUAGAAGAAGAAUUGGUGGGGUUUUCACUUCGUUUUUAAAAAAUAUAUUAUUUUAGUGGUUGAAAUUGUUGUUUAAUGAUGGGGUUUUUGUGGAUUUGCAGCAAGGCAAAAGAAGGCUGUGAGGAUCUUUCCAAGGCCAACUGCUGGACCCCUUCGCCCUAUUGUCCAUGGCCAGACUUUGAAGUAUAACAUGAAGUUGAGAGCUGGAAAGGGUUUCACCCUCGAAGAGCUUAAGGUUUGCUGUUUUAAUUUUUUUAAUACGAUCUUUGGGUUUUGUUUAAAAUGCUUUGAUUUUUAGGUUUAGUGGUUUUGUCCCUCAUUAGCUGGAUAUCACUUGCAUGUAUGUAUUUGUGGAUUGGAUUGAUAAGUAUUAGAGAACGAUAAAUCUUGUUUUAACUGUUAACACUAAUUUCGUUUGAUUGAUUAAUAUUAGAGAACGAUAAAUUGAAGAAGUUUGUGUAGAAGAUGUGUUGUAUAAUGUGUAAUUUCAACCCCGAUUUAGUACAUAUGGGCUUGUAUUGAAUACCUAUAUGUAUCUAAUGAAUAGAUUUAUGAUAAAUCUCAUUUUAAUUUUUGACACUAAUUUCAAUUGAUUGAAUAGUUUUAGAGAAUGAUGAAUAAUGGUUUGUGUAGAAGAUAUGUUGUAUAUGUUGAAUUUUGACUUUGAUUUAUGGUUUGUAUGUGCUUGUAUUGAAUCUGAUACUCACCUAAUUCUCUGACCAGGCUGCUGGUAUUUCAAAGAAACUUGCACCGACCAUUGGUAUCGCUGUUGAUCACCGCCGUAAGAACAAAUCACUUGAAGGUCUUCAAGCCAAUGUUCAGAGGCUUAAGACCUACAAGGCCAAACUUGUUGUCUUCCCAAGGCGUGCUCGCAAGUUCAAGGUAAAUUUUAAUCAGCCUGUAUUUGCAUUUCAAAACAUUCAAUCCUUGUUUUGUAUUUUCAAUAUCGUGUUCUUGUUCCUAUAGGCUGGUGAUUCACCUGCCGAGGAGCUCGCAACUGCAACCCAAGUCCAAGGACCAUACAUGCCUAUUUCUCGUGAGAAGCCUUCCGUUGAGCUCGUGAAGGUCACCGACGACAUGAAAUCAUUCAAGGCAUACAACAAGCUCCGUGUUGAACGUACGAAUGAACGUCAUAUUGGUGCUAGGUUGAAGAAGGCUGCCGAGGCCGAGAAGGAAGACAAGAAGUAAGGUUACCCUUUUGGGGACAGUGUUUUGUUAUUUGGCUUGCUAAAAAGACCUUAAAUUUUGUUUUCAUUUUGUCAAGUGAACUGAGACAGCUUUAGAAAACUUUGGUAUUAUGACAGUAAUCCAUUUUGUUGAGCAUUUUAUUAAAUUGAGAAGUUUCUUGCAAUUAGGCUUUGUGGUAUUGGCAUUAUGAAGAAGUGUUGCUAAUGGUUAAUUGCUUUGUUUUUCAAUGUUGAUUGAAUCGGUUGGAUUGAGAAGUAACUAGUUGCGGUACUGGUUCGGAAAGUGACUUUGAAUUGAUUAGAUCGUGAACUAGUGUGGACCGGUUGAACCAGUUAAAAAACCUUAAAUUUUAAUAAAUUUUAAUGAUAUAGUAUAUACCUUUGAAUAUUCAAGCCUGAGUUUCUUUCUUAUUUCAACUAGUUUUAAGUUUUUUUCAUUUUGAUAUUAAAAUAUUUUCCGAAUUCGUUAUACGGAUUAUAGAUUUCUUAAUUUAAUAUUUCCAUUUAAAUCCUUCCAAAUAUUCGAUAAAUUUAUGGUUCGACCGUUGCAUCUAAUUUGAACUUAAGCAUGAUUACGUAUUGAAAGACCCGAACUUUCAAGUCUUGAAAUUAGAAGGCGUUGGUGGUGUAGCAUUUUCGCUCGUUAAUGCCCUAAUGCUCUCUAAACUUUAGUCUUUUGAGAUUUUCGACAAAAACUAUCUAUUAUUAAAGAAUUCAUCGGUCUCGAGUAGACGAAAAUUGAAAGAACAAAAAAUCUCACCAAAACUAAAGAAGGAUCUCCCAUAUUCUACAACCCAUAAUUCUUCAGAAACAUUGAAACCCUUUUUUACUCUAGUCUCUUCAUGUUUUCUGGGAUUCUAACAUCAAAGAAUAUCAAAAAAACAUAUUCUCCAGACUUUGAGUAGAAAUCAAGCAAAACAAAAGUGCAAUAAACGUAGAAAACCCCCCCUUAUUUUCCUCCAUUUCCAAGCAAGCAUAUAUUCUAAAUUAAAAACAAAAUUCUCACCAUUUUAUUACAUCGUUAGCUUUGAAUCUUCUUUUAGUUCCCCUCUAAUUUCAAUUAUAUUUAUACCCCAAAGUGCUGCUCAUCUCAGUGCUCUAUCAAACUUCUUCUCCUUCUUGCUUACAGCCAUGGACUCAAUGACUCACUGUUCAAAUUUAUUCAACUCAGUCCUCUUCAUUUCCAUUUUAGCCACCAUUUUCAGUCAUUGUGGUACGUAAAAUUAUAUCUAAUUUAUGCUUAUUUAUAUGUUUUGUUAUUAAAAAACCAGUUCUUUUUGUCUGUGUUUUAGGGUGGUUGUACCUGAAAGGUCCCUGAAUUAUAGGGACUAGGUUAAAUUAGUCCUACUAUUAUCAAAUAGAUCAUUUUAGUCUGUGUACUAUAAAAAAGAAUUAAACAAUGUCAAAUUGGAAUAGAGUUAACAAUUAUUGUUUAAAAAAAAUAUCAUUUGUUGUUUAAUAGAGUUAAUAUUUUUGAAUUUUUUAUCUUUCUGUAAAUGAAAUUUUUUAUUUGAAAUUGAUCUAUUGAAAAGAAUCAAUUUUAAGAUAUUUUUUUACACAAUAAAUGUUAACUUGUUACAAUUCAGAUUCUAAAAGUACUAUGGAGGCCCUGAAUUAGAAGUCAAAUUGCUUUUACCCCUCUUUUAAAAAUGGCCAAAUUAGUCUCUGUACAUUAGAUCAAAGAGCAAAAUGGUCCUUCUGUUAAAAGUUCCUUCUAUUUCUACUAUUAAAAAUUGAUCUUUGUACAUAGGUACACAUAGCAUACCACGUGUCAUUGGAUGAUUAUUCCAUUAGCCACGUUAGAUUUUAAUAGUACAAAUUGAUGAAAUUUUUAACAAAAAAAAUUAGUUUGCUCUUUGGUCUAACAUAUUAGGGCUAAUUUGAGUAAAUAGGGCAAAAUGCAAUCUGACUCAUAGAACAGGGCGUCCAUGGUACUUUUACCCCAUUUAGACUUAUUUGAUUUUUUUAAUAGUAUAAGGAAUAAAUUCAUCCAUUUAAUAAUAAAGAGAUUAAUUUGAUCUUUUCCCUAUAAUACAGGGACUUCCCAGGUAGUUUAACCCUUUGUUUUAUGUACAGAUGCCAGAUUUAUGUUCCAUAUGUGGAACCAAAAGGGCUCAAAUCACCAUGAAAGUCCAAUUAACAAGCAAAAAUUAACCAGUCAUUUCGUCUCCAAUGUUGAUCCGUACACCAUCAACUCACCUUUAUAUCUCCCUCCUUUCGACUCACUGUCACCACUUCCUCAACCUGGGGGCUCUCCGUUCACUCCAUGUCCACCGCCUCCGCCGUCUAGUCACAGCCACGGUUCAUCAGCUAAUCCACCUAGUAUUUUUUUCUCAAGUCCCCCACAACACCAACCUACCCCACCAGAACAUGGUUUGACUCCAAGACCCAUUUACGGACCCCCAAAGCUGAACCCACCGUCGUCUUUAGUUCCACCGCCUAAAUCGUCACGUUCCGGCGGCGGCGUUUGGUGUGUGGCUAAACCUACGGUGCCGGACUCGAUCAUCCAAGCGGCUAUGGAUUAUGCAUGUGGGUCUGGUGGGAAUUGUAAAGCGAUUCAACCCAAUGAGCCGUGUUUUCAACCCAAUACGUUGAUAUCACAUGCUUCGUUUGCUUUUAAUAGCUAUUGGUUGAACACAAAGGGGAAUGGUGGUACCUGUGAUUUUGGUGGUACUGCCAUGCUUGUUACAGUCGAUCCUAGUAAGUCUCUUCUUUUAGACAUAAUGAGCUCAUAAUGUUUAAAUUUUUAUCAAUUUGAUCCUUUUUAGCUAAAUUUAGUCGUUACUUAGGUGACUCAUAAUUUUUUUUAAGAGGGUACAGAAUUAAAUUAUAACUUUUGUGUGAGGUUAAAGGGAUGAAAUCACUUUUGAAAAAGACUAAUUAAAAUUUAUUUAUUUUUUGGGAAUAAAGUGCAAUUUCACUAUAUAAUAACUUUUAAUUCUAUAAUUUAUUAAGGGACUAAAAGUUUUUUUUUUUCAUUUGAGAGGCUAAGGCCUAGCCUGCCCUCUCCAAAUUCUCUUUCGGCCUUCAACCUUUUAAAAAGAGUCAAAUUAUUUUUUUACAUGACAAUUUAUAUGUACUUUAUGCAUUUUUUUUAAUUUUUAUGAACAUUUUAUAUUCUUUUUGGAAUUUGGAAUUUUUUAUUAUUUUAAAGAUAUUUAUAAUUUUAAAAUUCUUUAUCCAUUUAGUAUAUAAGAUAAAUAGUGACAUGUUAACACGAAGCAUACAUAAAAUAUCACACCAACAUUGUUAAAGAAUUACUGCUUUAAUUAGCAUUUUGUUAAUGAGUCAUUAUACCUUUUUUUUUAACUGUAUUUUGGACAAGAAAACAUAAAUGUAACUGUAUUAACGGUUUCUUUGUUUGUAAUGAAAAUGCGACAGGUUUCAAUAAAUGCAAGUUUGGCCAUGCUUGAUCCAGGGAAUUAUGAAGUAUAGGCUUAUAUAAAUUUAUAAAGGUAAUUUAGUAUAAAAGGAUAGAAAAUAAUGUGGAGUAGAUUUAUUCUACAUAGAUGAUCAAAUUGCAGCAAUUAGCAAUGUUCUUUAUUAUCAGCAUUGUACAAAUUUUUAUCAGAGAAUUGGAUGAGUGCUUUAACAGUUCAAAAAAAUUAUAUAUAAAUAAAUAACAAUAUUGGUACAAACACUUUUCAAAUUCCAUAAUAUUCAUCCAAAUUAUAAGUAUUUGUAAGUUAAUAUAUGUGUUUAAGCUGUUUGAUGAGAAACUAUGAUUUUUAUCUUAAUCUUAAUUUAAGGGGGUAUAAUAAAAAUUAAUCCUAUUUUUUUAUGCUGCCAUGCAAUUCGGUGCAUGGAAUGAACCGACAUAUUUUCCAACACAUAUAAGUCCCAAAAAGUCAAUGUAAUUUCAAUCGGUUUGUCGUUCCUUAUUCGACAAACUCUCAAUUUUAAUUUUUUUUCGCCUUAAAUUAUUUUUUGGGAUCAAAACUUAGUAAUAAUUUUAAUUUUGAGAUUUGAAAUCUUUAUUUAUUCAAUUUAGUCUUUGAACUUGAUAACUGUUUUUAUAUUAGGGCUUGAACUGGCAAUUAUUCCUACAUAAGGGUUUGAGCCUUUUUUUAACCAAAGUCCUUAAACUUGACAAUUAUUCUCAUAUUAGAGCUUGAAUUUUAGGGUUUUCAAGAAAAUAUCAUGGACAAAGUUUAGACCCCAUUGUGAGAGCAAUUACUAAGUUUAGAGACUAAUUAGGCCUAAAAAAAGUUCAGACUCUAAUGUAAAAAAUAAUUACCAAGUCCAAAGAUUAAUUUGUAUAAAGAAAAAUUUAGACCUUAACAUGUUAGUGAUGGCUAUAAAUAAGAGAAUGCCAAUGCCCAUACAAUAAAACCAAAUUCAAUCCACUUUUAUUUUCUAAAACCAUUGGAAUUUAGAUUGAGCCACAUAGAUUGUUGAAGGUAGGGUGAAAGUGACAUUGAAAAAGGAAUAUAUAUAAUGUGCUAAAAUUAUGUAACUACGUGGUGGGGUUACUCAUUAUCUUUAAUUUUGACUCUUAAUUUCGAUUGUCGCAUUUACGACAAUUCACCAUCAACCUUUUGAUUAUUUUAAUUUAACCUAUUCCACUUGUCAUCUUUUUGUACAAUCUUGUGUAUUACUCCUUUGAUUGUGUUAAUUUUUAAAUUUUUUAAUAAAUUUUAGUUUAAUGUUUAAUUUAAUUUAUGAAUUUUGAUUUAGGGUAGAGAUAUAUAUGAAAUUUUUAUUUUGAUUCAAUUUUAUAUAUUUAAAUGGAAUUAUUUUCAUAUUGGAUUAAUAUAUAUAAAUAUAAAAUUAUGUUAAUUCGAUAAUGAUGUUAUUGAUUUUGUGAAAUUUUAUUUAUGAAAUCACAUAAAAACAAAAUUCAUGCAUGAUAUUGUACACAUGUAUAGUUUUGAUGUUUGUCCCGACUUGAAUUAAUCAAAGAUUGCUUUUGUCUCUUGAUUUAAAGUUUUUUUUUUCUUUAAAUAGAUUUUUAUCUUGUAUUGAUUGUAUUUGUCUUUAAGCUUUGUUUUGACUUUCUUUUUAAGAAAUUAAAAUAUGUUUUAUGUUUAUGUAUUUUUUUUUUGUGCAUUUGAAUUUAGUCUUUCUACUUAUAUUUUAAAGAAUGGUUAAAAUAUUCCUCAAAUUUUUGUAUUUUCUAUGCAUGUGAAAUUUAGUCUCUUUACAUUUAUUUCAAGGUGUUUAGUCCAUUUAAAAUUGUAAGUCCAAUUAUCAACACCGUAAAAUUUCUUUUGUUAAAUUCAGGUUAUAACAAUAUUUUUUAUUACAUGGUUACCAAAUGAAUUUUUUUAUUUAAAAAAAACGCCAAUAAAUUUAACAGAAGAUUUUUAACUAUGUUUGAAAAUUGAACAUAAAUUUUGAAAUAUAAAAAAAUAGGACUAAAUUACAAUUGAACCUUCAGAAUUCCGUCUCCGUCUCCUAUUUUAUAAAUUUUAAAUUUUAAAUCCAACGGUUAAUAGUAUUAAAAAUAUCUAUUAAACUUAGUCCAAUGGUAUUCUAAAUUUUUUUUUAAAAAAAUAUCUCAUUUGAUAGUCAUGUAAUAAAAAAUUAUAUAAUAAAUUUAAAUUUAACAUAAAGAUUUAAUAAUAUAAACAAUUAAAUUUAUAUUUUUAAAUUAAAAAAUUUAAAUUUAUUAAAAUAAAAAUAAAGUAAGUAAAUUCCAUAUGAUAAAUAUAAAAAGAAAAUAAAUAUCUGUUAGUCCUUGAUAUUGAGUAUUGACAAGUUGAAGCAUUGUUUAAGACACAUGUUCGGUUUGAAAUUGUUAAUUAAUUAUAUAUAUAUAUAUAUAUAUGAAUUUUAAAGCAUAGUGAUAAUAAUUGCUCAAAUAUAGAGUACUGUAAUUUGUACAUAUCUUACCGACAAUGCUGCCUCCCUCACAGCUCUUAUUCAAGAAUCUGCUAUCGUUUUCAAGUUUAGGGUUUAGUGCAGUAAAAGAUAUCUGAUAUAAAUAUUUUUAUUUUUAAAAUUUGAUUUAAUAUAAUAUUUAGCAUUUAAAUUUUAAUUCGAUAUAUACAUUUUGGAUUUAAUUUGUUAUUUAAAUUUGAUAUUUUUUUCAAUUUAACACCUUUUGGGAAAGGUCGAGAAACAUAAUUAUUCUCCAUGUAACUCUUGAAAGUUUUUUUAUCUAUAAUUAUUAAUAAAGCAUUUCAUUAAAAUGAUUUCUCGAAUUGAUUGGACAUAAACUCUAUCGAGGGAAGUCUAAAAAAUUAUUUAUUUUAAAAGAAUAAUAAAUAUUAUUUUGUGGGUAUUUAUUGCUUAUAAUUGUUUAUAGGGUAAAUUGCAUUUAAGAAUACUAAAUUAUUAAUAAAUUUACGUUUUGGUCAUUCAACUUUAAAAUGGUCGUUGAAUUAUUUGAAAGUUUUCGCUUAAAUCAUUGAACUAUUAUAAAGUUUUUAUUUAAGUCAUGGGUUAUGAAGUUUUUUUUUUUUUAAAAUCCUGCUAGCAAGCUCCAAGCGACAAUUUGACAAUUAGUACGGUGGGUCGAUACCCAUCGACGAGUAAAAGAACAUACAUUAGAUCCAAGUUGAUUUAAUGAUCAGUGUCAAAAAUCAGAAAAGAAAGUGGUUUAGAUUUUAGUUCGCGGGUUCAUAAAAUUUAAAGUUGUUUCAUGAUAAAGAAAAACUAAACUGAAGAAGGGGAAUGAGAGCUUUCAGUUGAUGCAGGUAAUACAAAUAAUCACCAUUUUAAAUAGUUAAUAACUUAAAUAAAUUUUUUUGAAUAUUUCAAUAAUAUUUUUUGACUUUUUAAAAUUAAAUGCUUACCUUAUUUAUACUACAAAAUCUUUAAUAAAAUCUCAAACAUUACCCUCUUCUUUUAGAAAAAAAACACCAAAAUACUUACAAAGUUCUACACCACCUAACUUUUCUUGAACUUGACUAUUAAUCUACUUACAAAGUAGAUUGUAUUUUAUAUUUUUACUUAAAAAUAGAAAAAUUAAUUAUUGUAUGUUAGAUUAGAAAAUAAACUGAUUAUUUUUGUUAAAAAUUUCACUCAUUCUUACGGUUAAAAAUUGACGAAAUAACUAGAUAGUUAUAUGUGAUGUACCAUGCCUUGUACACCUCAUUCUAACGUAUAUUGAUAAAUUCUUAACAAUAAAAAUAGAUGAAAUUUUUAACAGAAUGUCCAAUUUACUUCUUAAUUUAACAUAUAUGAACUAAUUUACUCAUAUUUUGAAUAGAGACAAUAAAAUUUAAUCAGACUCUUAAUAUAAAGACUUUUACAGAGUUGAUUGUGGCAUAGAUACUAUUAGGGUUCGAGUGUGAUGGAAUAUAUUUACGUUUUAUUUAAGAAUUAAGGAGGUGGUAUGAAUAAUUGUAGAUAAUGAAAUAAUGAGAACAUAUAAUCUAUAGUAGUUUUACGGAUGUAGGGGUAGUACAAACUCUUAAAACAAAUGUGAAUUCGAUUUUCUCUUAUCCAAACCUUCACUGGCUUAUUUAAUAAAAAAACAGAAAAGAAAAUCGGGGGUGAGAUCUGUCGUAUUGUAAAAGUUAAAAUGUAGAAAGAAAAUGGGUGGGUCACAACUCACAAGCAAGCAAAAGCAUCUCCUUUAAAGCCAAGUUUCAAGUCACGGGCUCGACAGUUCACUACAUGUUAAAAUUGGACUCUCUCUACCCCGCAUUACCUCGAAACUCUGAAAAAUUCAUCCCAAAACCCGUGUUUUUGCACUAAUAAUUAAUCAUAUUUUCCUUUCUUACCCCUCUUUGGUUUAUUUACCAUCAACCACAUCAAGGUUGAGUUGUUUUUGCAAGCGGUAAAAUCAUUAGGAAGGCUAUUGUAUUAAAAAAUAAAUUAUAUUUUUAUUAAAAAUUUUAUCUAUUUAUAAUAUAAAGAAUGAGUGGAAAUGAUAAAAUGUGAUACGACGUCGGGGUUUUUCGGAAGGCGGAUAUUUUGGUUAAAGUCAAUGAAAGAUGCCAAAGGGUCUAAUAAAUUAAUAGGAAAAAGACAUUUUGAUAAUUGAUGUUUUGUGGCUUCCAUUUGCAUGAAUGUUGAGUAUAAAAACAUGGAACGAGUGAAGUAUGAAACCAAGCUCCCUAAGCUAAGAUAUGGGGAUGCAUAGUUUACCCUAUCUAAUUGUGUUGUUUUUGAAUUUAGGAGCAUUGCUCACUUCACUAGGCUGCCCUGAAUGUUACCACCACCCAUCUCGGCCGCCGAAAUGUCCUCCGCCACACUAUCCGCCUAAACAUCAUCAUCCUCCCAUUGUUAAGCCACCCUAUCACCCUAAACCACCAAAACAUCAUCCUCCAAAGCCACCUAAGCCUCCCGCGGUAAACCCACCAUAUCACCCUAAACCACCGAAGCCACCGGUGGUGAAGCCACCGUAUCACCCUAAACCACCUAAGCCUCCGGUGGUGAAACCCCCAUAUCACCCUAAGCCACCAAAACAUCCCCCGCAUCCUCCCAAGCCACCUGUUGUAAAGCCUCCCUAUGUACCUAAGCCACCUAUUGUAAAGCCUCCACCGUAUACACCCAAACCACCGGUUGUGAAGCCUCCGCCAUAUACACCCAAACCGCCGGUUGUGAAGCCUCCGCCAUAUACACCCAAACCGCCGGUUGUGAAGCCUCCGCCAUAUGCACCCAAACCGCCGGUUGUGAAGCCUCCGCCAUAUGCACCCAAACCGCCGGUUGUGAAGCCUCCGCCAUAUGCACCCAAACCGCCGGUUGUGAAGCCUCCACCAUAUACACCCAAGCCACCUUACUAUCCAAUACCGCCGGUCAUAUCACCACCAACACUGCCUCCAAAGCCACCAGUCUACCCCAGUCCACCAAUAGUGAACCCUCCACCAUAUACACCCAAACCGCCGGUUGUGAAGCCUCCGCCAUAUACACCCAAGCCACCUUACUAUCCAAUACCGCCGGUCAUAUCACCACCAACACUGCCUCCAAAGCCACCAGUCUACCCCAGUCCACCAAUAGUGAACCCACCAACACCGCCGAUUCUACCACCACCAUUACCACCUAUUGUGAACCCACCAACGCCUCCUAUCGUGAAGCCACCUUCACCGGGAACACCGUGUCCUCCACCACCACCUCCGGCACAACAAACAUGCCCCAUAGACACUCUCAAGCUAGGUGCAUGUGUGGACGUGUUGGGUGGCUUAGUACACAUCGGCAUAGGUAGCAGCGCCAAAGACACUUGCUGCCCUGUACUACAAGGGCUGUUGGAUUUAGACGCUGCCAUUUGUCUCUGUACUACGAUCAAAGCCAAACUUUUGAAUAUCAACAUUAUAAUCCCCAUAGCUCUUCAGGUCCUCAUCGACUGUGGCAAAACUCCACCUCCAGGGUUCCAAUGUCCAGCACAAUGAUGAAAAACAUAAAAACCCCAUGUUUUUUUUCUUUCGAAGUAACAAAUAUUUUAAUGUCUUAUUAUAUGUUUCUUUUAAUAAUUUAUGGUGUUUUGCUGGUUGAUGAAGAUCAUAAAGACGUGUCUGAGGUUAGAUUAUUUUAAUAGAUGUCGAUGAAUCCACGAACGAAUCAAUGUAGUACGAUGUUGUGAUUUUAGUUAGUUCAUAGGAUCAUAUUAAUUGUGUGUGUGUGUGUGUUAUUUUUCUUAUUUCAAAGCUAAGCUUGUUUUGUAUGAACUUCGCUUUAUUUUUAUUUUUAUUUUUUUUAUUUUUAUUUUGUAUAAUUUAUACUACACUCCAAUAAUUCUCCAACUUUUAAAUAACUCAAAUCAUUCUAAUUGUCAGUAUAUCAUUAAUUUAUUUUGGUAUUGGAAAAAGGAAGAGGUAAAAUCACAUGCAUGCAUAAAUCAUCAUCAAUCGUACUCAGUCCAUAGUCAUACUCAUUUUUAUUUGUCCCCACUUACAUCCUCGUGGGCCAGCAUUUGAUUCUUAGGGCAAAUUAUACCUAAUGUAUUUUUAAGUGUCGGUGAUUUAAUUUUAAAAAUUAUAAAAUAAUUAUUGAAUCAUUCAAUAAUUAUUGGGUUAUAUAUAAUCCGUUGUUAUAUGUUUUUUUUUCGGACCACUUGUGUCAAUUGAAAGUUCUUUUUGUCCUUUUCUUCUACCAUUUAGUUUUUUUAUAAAAUAAUUUUGAACGUCAUAAAUCUACAAACUAAAUUCAAAUCAGCUUUUUUCUUCGAUCUUUAACACUAAUCGCCAUAUCAACUUAGAUCUAAGAUAUAUUCUUCUAUUUGUUAAUGGGAAUUGAUCCAUCACACAGGUCGUCUAAUAAUCGCUUGGAGCUCACUAAUAGGACUUUAAAAAAAAACUUAGCAACCAACGACUUAAAUAAAAACAUUCAAAUAGUUUAGUGACCAAAGCAUAAACUUACUGAUAUUUUAAUGAUCUUGGGUGUAGUUUACCCUUUUUAUACUUUGUAUUUGUUUUGCUGAUGUUUGAAGCUUGUGGCUGUGAUUCACAAUAAAGUUGUCUUUAAAGUUUGAACCUACGUUUUUCUCUAAAAAUGCAACGUGCUUUAUCAUUGUACCCCAAACCUUAUAAGUUACUAUUCUCAAUUUUUUAUAAAUUCAUUAUUUUUAAUAUACAUUUUUAGUAAGGGAAAAGGGAUACGAUAGUUUUGAAAUUGAAUCUAAAUCUAAUAUUAACCGGUUAUUUGAACACAAUUUUUAUCACUUCAAGUAUAAUUAGCCGACUUAAUAGAUAUAUUUUUCUACCAAAUCAAGUUACAAAUGGAGAAAGGAAAAUUAUAUCAACAGAAUCGGAACGUCAAUAAGAGACUUCAUCUAUUAAUUGCUCCCUUACGCUGUUAACAACUCAACAAGUGAGUCUACACGGUAGCUCCUGUAGAGCCGGAUAAGAUGGGUAGCAAUGUUUUUAGAAUUGAACCAGUGAUCGAAACAAUCGAGCCACUGAUUUUUAGUUCGACCGGUUUGCUCGGUUUUUAUUAAAUAAAUUAUUAAAAAUUCAUAAAAAAUAUAAAAUACGGUCCAAUCGUCGAUUCAAUUGAUAUUUUUAGCUUAGUUAAAUUGUUUUGUAUUAAUUUAUAAAUGAAUCAAUUUUUUACCUUAUUCCAUACUAAUAUACCAAUCGAUUUCUAAUUUAAUGAUUGACUUGAUCUAAUUUCAACUACCUUGAGCUUGGUGAGUAGUAUUAUUCAGAUUGGGCUAAUACUAAAACCACCCAUUAAUUUUCAGACCCAAAAUUUCAGAAUUGGCCUAUCUUUGUAAGACAAAAAUAGACAAGGCUGAACAUGAUUUAUAUUUAAUUCCUAAAAAGGUGUAAAAGAAUAUUUAAGGUAAGUUCCAUAGGACCCAUAUUAUAAUAUCUCUUUAUUAUAUUGAAUCUAUUUUUACAUGCUCAGUUUCUUUUGUAACAAAACCAUGAUUAUAUUUUUAUUUUCAUAAUAAAGAAAUCAAAUUCAAGUAAUUGUUUUGGUAAAAAAAAAUCUUUUUAGUUUCUUUUAAUUUUUAUAUUGAGUCAAAAAAAUAGAAAUAAUUUAAUUUCUAUCAACUUUAAAGGUGACUAAUUAAGGAUAAAUAAUCACGCCGUUAAAUUUUUUCGUCAAUUGUACAUAAUUGUUAUUAGUAUAAUAAUAAAUUUAGCUCUCAAAAUUUAUAUAUUUUGUCAAAUUGAUUCUGAUUUAGCAAAAUGAGUAACACCAUGUUUGCCAAUACACCCCUAAUCGGUGGCCCCACAUAAUCUCCCUUAUUCCUAUGUUUGGUUCAUGGUAUUGCUAAUACCAUUGUAAUACAUUACUGAUCUAAUCGGUGAAAUUCACCGAUUUGUAAUCCGUCCCUUUUGCCCAGAUUAGGCGCCGCUUCAGUUUCCCUUUCCUGUUUUACCCUCCCACCGGCUUCCCCUUUGUUUCUCUUCUGUUCCUUCUAGCCUCUGCCGAUUUGCUCCCUCCCAUCGAUUUCAUUUGUCAGGUAAAAUCCCCAUAUUUUGCCUAUUAUUAUAUCCCCUUUAUUUGCAUUCUUGCCUGUUGAUUUCUCUGUUCUAUUUUUCUUUCUUUACACCUAAGUUCGUCGGCAGUCGUUCUUCAAGACACACUCCGUUGGAGCUGCUUAGAAGCUAGUAGUAUUGUUGUAAGCUUAGUUCAUCUCUUUCUUUGCCGUGUUUCAUUUUUAGACUGCAACUUUCUCUUCUUUCCCCCUCUCUUGUAAGUUAAGCAGAUUUUAUGUUGCUAUAGUGAUUUGGUUUUUCUUUUUCUGUUUUAAUCUUUUUUCCAGAAAGAAAUGUUACUUUUGAUGAAUUGGGUAUCGAUAUUUCUAUGGUUUUUUGCUCUUUUUUGUCCAAAAGAAGUUGCUUUUUCAACCGAGGAUUGCAUUUAGGUAAGCAAUUCUCUUGCCCAAAUAGUGAAGACAUUGUAUUCAGAGCGAUUUGUGUUAAUUUAAAGCAUAGAAGAUGGAAAUUCUUGGAUCAAGUGUUCCCAAGUCUUACAAAUGCAUUGGUGAGUCGUGUUGUUGGCGAGUUUCAGAACUCACCUCAGUUAGCCUUGGAAUUUUACGAUUGGUUUGGGGAGAAAAACAGUUUUAGGAAAAGAUGAUGUUAUGAUGAUUGUUUCUGUUUUGUUUAUAAGUUGGAUAUGCAUUCAGGGGCCUGCAAGUUCUUGAAUUGACUUGUUCUUUCCUUUCUCAUUACCUAGAGCCCUAAAUCUCAUAGGUUCAAAGGAGUAGACAUUUGACAGUUAAAAGCUCUUGCAAUACUGAUCUAGGAAGAUGAUGGAUCAUUUCGGUUCUGAUGCAAGAUGUUUCGACCUGAUGCAAGAUGUUUCGAAAUCUCAAUGUUUGUUUCAUUUCUCUUUUCAAUUCCAACAUUGCAAUGUGUUUUUCUCGUCUUUGUUUGCCUAAUAAAGCAGGUACCUUUUUGUUAAAUGUUUUCUUGAUCUGUUGGCCAAGAGUUUGUGCUAAGAUUUACAUUUCAACUUUAGGUAUUAUUCUUAUUUAUGCUGUGGAGACUCGUAUCUAUAUAUAAACUAAACUAUGGAACCACUUCUGAGUAAUUUGCAAAUAAUGAAUGAAUCAGCUUCUCAAGCUAGUAUUAAGCUGUGUCACUUUCAUCUGCGCAUAAUGUGAUGGUUUGAUAGUUGAAAUUAUGGAUGAUCUGAAUCUAGCUGUAGGUGAUUAAAUAUAUGAUCACCAAAGUAGUGGCAUCCAUCUAAAGUAGUUUUCUACCUUCUUGGGAUGAGUUCAGUUAAGUCUAUAUCAUCAUCCUCGCCUUGGCAUAUUGCAUUCAUUUUAGCUAUAGAGUAAUUUGCACAAUUGGUGAUUAUCGUUUGACAUUUCUCAAUCUUCUAUACUGGCCUAGUAGUCAUUCUUCUCUCCUAACCUUUCUCAUAUGUGAUCAACUGUACUGUUUUAUUGCAGGCGCAGUCUCCUAACUACAAUGCUACCCUGAAACAAAUUUUCCCCAAUAUUCAGCAAAUCGAUUCUGAGGUAUUUGCUUAGAAAUUUUGGUAGGUUCUAGACUGUUGUAGUUGAAUGUUCAUAAAUUUGCAAUCACGCGUGUAGUAUGCUAACGGUAAACAUCUCCAGUCUCUUGUUGUCUGGAGCUUGUGAGUUUGCAUAUGUUGCUAGGGGAAAACAGGGUUCUGGAAGUGAUCCCUAAUUCUUUGAAGGGGAUUAACCAUGAUAUGUUUAUUUAUUAAAUGCAGUGUUGUUAAUCAUUGUUUUGAACAUUCUUAAUCUCUUGAAUUGUUGACCUGUUUCCAACUUUUUAAUAAUAUUUCAAGCUCUCUUGUAAACAAUAAUGUAUGGCUUUCUAUGUUGUGGGUCAGUCCAGAAAUUCACAUAAGAUGCAUGGUCAUUUGUUAAAGAAGAAAUGCAAAUCCAAAUUUUCAUUUAUAAUUGUUGUACUAACCACAUUUUACUCAUCAUUUUAGUAAUGGCUUCCAUUUAAGGCACUGUAACAAUGUACUAAAAUUACUUGUAAUUCCAAUGCCAGGAGAUAUAAUCAAUAUCACACAUUGCUCUAGCUCUAAGCAGCUCAAAGAUGCAAGAUGAAGUUCUAGAGAAGUUCAUAAACGCCACAAUAAAUCUCCGCACCUUUUUUAAGUAACUAUCAACGAACAGAAAGGGAAAUGAGAAGAAGCAACUAUCCUCUAUAGAUUAUACCAUUUCAUGAAAUAGAUGAUCAUGGGACAAGAAAUCGACCAAAUAUAAAAUAACAGAGAAAUAUGAUUAUUUAAAAGUAUACAAGGGAAAAUUAUAUAUUUAAUAUUAAGAAUUUUAUUUAAAAGUAUGAUUAUUUAAAAGUAUACAAGGGAAAAUAACAGAGAAAUAUGAUUAUUUAAAAGUAUUCAUUUAAGAAUAUUUAAUAUUAAGAAUUUUAUUAAAUUAUAUAUUUUUAUUAAAUUAUAUUUAAUAAUAAUUAUUUUAAAUUAUAUUUUAUAGUAUUAUAUAUUAUGAUUUUAUUAAAUUCAUAUAAGAAUAUUUAAUAUUAAGAUUUUUAUUAAAUUAUAUUUAAUAAUAAUUAUGUUAAAAUAUGAUUAAAUUAUUUAUUAUUUAUAUUAAUAAUCUUAUUAAAAUUUAAUAACAAUAACAAUAAUCAUUUACCUAAACAAAUUUAUGCUAAGGGUAUUCUAGUCAUUUUAGUUUUUUCCAUUAUGCUAUUACACCUCCAUUCCAUUCAACCAAACACAAGAUUACUAUUACGCCUCUAUUCCAUUACAUUCAACCAAACAAUUGAUUUGCUAUUACGCGAUCUAUUCCAAUACAGCGAACCAAACGUGCCCUAAAUGUUGUAGAUUAAACUUGUUGAAUCAAAACUAAAUUGACAAAAUAUGUAAACGUUACAUGUUAAAUUUGUUAAUCAGGACCAAAUCGAAAUAUGUAAACAUCAAAAACUAAAUUUAUUAUAUCAAUCAAAAUAGUUGUGAUUAAUUAUUUUUAAUUGUUGAUGAGAGGAUGAAAUUGGUUUACUUGUGUUUCCAAGUUAUUUACAUUCAUUGAAUUUGAACACACCCAAAUAAGGAGAUUUAUUUAUUUUAAUUACAUUAUGAUUAACACUAAUAUAAUGAUAAUCAAAAGUGAAAUCCAUCAUAACAAGUAAUGGACAAACCAUCAUUAUUUGAACAUUUGGAGACGGAUUUCUUGACUGUUUUUCUACAAUUUCCCGUCGUUGCACCAAACUUCUUCAAUAUUUAUUUAUAAUAUCGAGAACGAUAUUGCUAGAAGUAAUGGAUUCGAAUCUUGGAUUGACUAGUUUUCAUGAAUAAUAAAAUUAAAAUCAAUUCAAUAUAAAACACAAUGAAUGAAAAUCGAAAUAUAUUUAAAUCUAAGCUAAAAUAGAUAUCACGACGAGAGUAAUAUAAAAAAACCUAAUUAUACUGCUAAAACUUGAAUUUAAACCAUUAAUUACAAUAUAAUCAAUCUAAGAUUUAUAUCUUUAUUUCUAUCCCAAUUACAAUUAUUCCAUAUCCUUAAAGUGUAAGAUAUCACUUGCAUUAACGCGUGGAGUCCUUCGUAUUAUUGUAACAAUAAUAUAUCAACUAAUCGAUACAAAUAAAUAAUUGAAUGAAAUUAAAUAAUUUUCCCUUCCAUUUUAUAUUAUUUUCUUCUCUUUGCAUUGACAUACUUUUUGGACCAAAUAAGUCAUUUGAGGAAACAAUAUUACUACACUACCCUCGUAAACAUUUCUUCGUUUGACAAAAAAUUGCAACAAAACUGUGUUUCAUUGUUGUCCUACAUUGCAUUGCUAGUGUUAGUGACAUUGCCAUUGCUAUUAUGGCCAUUAUUGGGGUGAGAUUCAGAACUCUCAAUAAUAGAUGUAAUAGCUGCGGCUAGAGCAGCGGCGAAGCUCGGGUCCGUCGCAAUGGCUGCCGUGGCCGCAUUUACAGUGUCAGCAAUUGAAUUUUGUUCACCCUGUUGCAGCCGAUCCAAAGCUUUAGACAUUUGUAUACGGGAGAAUUUUGACUGAUUGUCAAGUGCCUGGCCGAAAACUUGAGGCACCAAUGCGGCGGUAACCGCUACAGAAUUGGCAACGUUGUAAGGCGGCGGAGGGCUCGAAAACGAGGACUGUGUUAAAUCCAAGGUAACGCUGGGGAAUGGAGUUGAAGCCGAUAUAGUAGCCAUGGUGGAAGAGCAAGGCAGGAGAGUUGUGGUGAGGAGAUUCGAGUUCAUCAGUCCGUCGGGACUAGACGUUGAACCCGAUACCAACAUUCGUGCUGCUGAUGACGUCGUCGAUGCCAUCGACAUCGCCGAUGGAGGCAAAGGGUGGUUGUGAUUGCCUUCGUAUGUGGUGAUAAGAAUUGUUCGAUCUUCGGCACAUCUCUGUACCUAUAACAUUAACAUUAAUCGACUAUUUAAAUGACGGUCACGGACGCAUGCAUUUUCGAUUUUCGGUUUCCAAUAGUACCUGUUUUCUAACGGGACAACCGGUAGCCAUAGUACAUCGAUAAUAUGCUCGUGGACACGGAUUUCCCUUCGCCAUUUUCUGUCCGUACUUCCUCCAUUGACAUCCAUCCGUAAUCUUUCCGACAACCAAAAUAAUUAACCCGAAUUAAAAUCAAACACGAACAAAACACCAACAAUCCAAUAUUAAUCGCAACAUAUAUACCAUCGGAGCCUCUGAUCUAGCUCGAACGGAAACUCGUGCUUUUCUCAUGGCGGCCUCACUUUGAUCAACAUCGAAUCCCGGACCCUUGUUAUCACCACCGGAGCUAUCUUCACGCUGGCUCUUGCCUUCCGGAGACGACGGAGACGACUCAUUGGCAUCGGCGGCGACAGCUAAACCAAGAUCUAUAAACUGUCUAGGCACUAUUAUUCCACCAUUUCGUUUCUUAUUUUCUUCAUCUUCUUCUUUAGCUUUUCCACCAUUUUUCAUCAUCAAUGAACACAAAUGAAUCUUCAUUGUAUUAUAGUUCUCAGUUGCCUGAAUCAACAUCUCCUUUAAUCUUUCAUUCUCAGCGUUCAUUUGUACCAGCUUAGCUCGUAAAACAGCUACCUUUAAAAAAAACAAUGGCACAGUAUUAUAUAAUAUUAUCAAAUUCACUUAAAAAAAAAAGAAGAAGACUCAGUUUUUUUUUUCACCUCAUUAUUAGCUUUUUUAUCUUCCAUAGUGGACUGAUCGGUACUGGUAUUUGCAGUUAACAGAUUUAGACCAAUCUGAAUAUAAAAAAACACGCACACAAAAGAUUCAUCAAUUCAAUCCAUUGAAGUACAAAUUUAAAAGAGAUAUCAAUGAUGGGUAAUUAACUCACGUUGACGUUAAGCUCAAGUCCGGCAUCGGAAGUGUGCAUGGAAUCAGCAACAUCGACGAGUUUAUCGUUUUUUUCAGCGAAAAAAUCCAGUUCACCGACGACCCUUCGUUUAUCAUCAUCUGAGGGUAAAAAAGAAGGGCGAGUUUGAUCGGAAAAACAGUCGAAUUUAACGGGGAACCGAUCGAUGGUAGAUGGCAGAGACAUGUUUGCCGGCGUUGUUGUAGUACCAGAAAACAUUGUUUUGUUGUUGUUGUUGUUGUUGUUUUUGUUGGUGUCUUUGGGAGUGUAUUCGGGGAAAGAAUUGAGGACAGGUGGGUUGUGAAUUAAGAAAUAGUUUGGGUCAAAAUCAAAAUUGGAGAGUCCACUGGUUUUCGCCAUUGAUGAAGAAGAAAGAAACAAAGAAAGAGAUGAAGAAGAGAGUGUUUGAACGGUGCAGACUGCAGAGGACUCGGCAAUUAAAAGGGCGUUAAGACCUUUAGAAGAAAGUGCGAAGUAUUUAGUAAAGCAUUUAACACUAGUUAUUGUUUUUUUUUUUUUUUUUAGUAUUAUUAUUUUUUAAAAUAUGCCCAGCUAUUAUACUUUUUCACAAAAAUACAAAAUUUAGUCCUUUUAUUUUUAGUUUUAGGAAUUAUAUCUCUACUUUUCAAAAUUCAAAAUUCAAGUCAAAUUAUUAACAUUGUUAAAUUUUUGGUGUGACCUUUCAAAAUUAACAAAAAAAAAAAAGAUACUUACUUGAUAAUAAUGUAUCAAAAAAAUUGACGUUGUAAUGAACUUAAAUUUAACAAAACAAUUUUUACAGUGUUAACAAUUAGACUUAAAUUCUAAAACUUGAAAAAUAAAGAGACUAAGUUCAUAAAAACAAAAGUAUAUAGACUAAAUUUCAAAUUUAUAAAAAGCACACAAACUUAUGACAUAUUUUAACCUUUUAAAAGUUGUAUGAUGUUUGGAAAUUUUGAGAAAAUAAUUACAUUGUUGAUUUGAUUUGGUCCUUUGAUUUCUUCUUAUUACUUUCAAAAUUUUAAAAACUUGUGUUGUUUGCACUAAAAUGGAAUAUGAUAAAUAAAAACUAUUUAAUGUUAAAAAAAAUCAUGAUAAAGUAACACUUAUUCUUGAAUUUGGUAAUUUUUCAUCUUAAAUUUUAAUUUUUUUAUUACAUUUUCUCAAUUUAGUCAUUAAAUUUAGAUUUAGUUAAAAUGCGAUCAUGCAUCACUUUGGUUGAAAUUUAGAAUAUCACAUUAUCAUAUUUUUAAUUAUUGUUUGAUUUAAUUUGGUAAUUUUUCAUCUUAACUUUUAAUUUUUUAUUACAUUUUCUCAAUUUAGUCAUUAAAUUUAGAUUUGGUUAAAAUGUGAUGAUGCGAGACUUUGGCUGAAAUUUAGAACAUCACAUGAUCACAUUUUUAAUUAUCGUUUGAUUUAAUUUACCAGGUUUAAAAAAAAAGUAUCCUUUCCUCUUGCAUCUUUAAUUUUGAUUAUCUUCUAAAGCAAAAUUGUAUAUUUAUAUUAUAAAAUAUUAAUUAGAGAUUAAAAAUUUUGUUUAAAUAAAAAUAAUUAUUUAAUACAUUAUCAAUAAAAAAAUUUAACUCUAAAAAUAAAUAAAUAAAACACAUGUGAUUUUUAAAUUCUAUUUAUGAAAUUAAAAGAAUUUUAAUUACAAUAUAUUAAAUACUAGUAUUUAAAUAAUCGAUAUUAUAUAUAUAUAUCUAUAUCUAUACCAACGGUGAACCUAAAUAAUACAUGAAAUAAAGGAAAUAAACAAUAAACAAUAAAAACACUUGAAAAUGAUAAAAAAAAUGAUUUUAAAAACUCCAUAUAAUAAUAUUUAAAAAUUACUUUUUAAAUUAAAAAUUUUCAAUGUAUAAGCAUAUAUAUAACAAAAUAGAAUUUUGAAUAAUUUUAGUGAUAAUUAGUUCCUUUUAAAACAUUUAUAAUUUAUUACAUAUGGAUACAUUCAUAUAGUUUGAUUUAAAUAAACUUAUAAAAAUAAUAUCAAACAAAUCUAAUCAAAGGGGACAGAUGGCAAACAAGAAGAGUGGACAAAAAUGUAAUCCUAGUCAACUCAAAGGUGCUGGGUGAAUGGAUUGCCCCAUUUCAUACGCUAAAAUCCUAUUUUUUUGACUUAAUUAGUACUCCACGUAGGAUUGGUCGUCAUGGGGCUGGACCGAGGCUAAACGAGUUGACUCUGCAGGCUUCUUUUUUGGACCAAUCCCUUACAUUCACUUGCUUGACCACUGUAUUAAAAUAUUGGUGCAAGUCGCUAAAAGAUCCUUGUAUUAUAAAGAUUGUAUCAAAUUAGUCCCUUUUAUUAUUAAAUAGAUCAAUUUAAUUCUUAUACUAUUAAAAAGAACCAAAUCAGGUUAAAUUAGAAUAGAUUUAACAUUUACUAGUGUUAGAAAAAUAUAUUUUAUUGUUUAAAAGAGUUAAUAUUUUUAAAGUUUUUAUGGUUUUGUAAAUGAAACCUUUCGUUUGGAAUUGAACUUCAAUUGAAAAAAUAAUACUUUUUAAGAUAUUUUUUAUACAUUAAAAGUUAACUCUGUUACAAUUUGAACUUAUUUGACUAUUCUCAACAAUAUAGAGACUAAAUUAAUCUAUUUAACAAUAGAGUGACUAAUUGAUACAGUCCCUGUAAUACAUGAAUCUUUAAAGUACUUUAACCUUAAAAUAUUAGUAUUAUUUCAUUAGAUUUUUCAAAUAUGACAUGGAGCAUGUUUAAAAUCCAUAGACUAAAUUGCAAAUAUGUGUGAACACAUUAUAUAAGAGGGUAGGCAAUAGGCCCAUAGCCUUGUGCCCCCGCCUUUUUAAAAUAAGAUUAUUCAAAGUUUAUGAUUCAUCUCUAGCCUCUUCAAACAAUUAUUUUAGCUUCGUCUUAGAUUUUACUUAUUAUUAUUUUUAAAUAAGAUUCAUAUGCAUGCAUGCGUAUAAUUUGAACCAUAUUUUUAAAACGUUCCAUGUCAGAUAUAAACCGAUAUUUAACAUCUAAAUUAAAUGCCCGAUUAAUACAGUAUUGUUAAAAUGUUUUUGAAGUGUUUAUACCAAUUAUUGAAAUAUAGUAUAAAAAAUACUUAAUUAUCCAAAUUUAAAUAAUGUAGAAGACGUGAACAAUAAGCAUAUUGGUUGCAUUCCAUUAUAAGUUAAAACAAAGAACAAAAAUACCAAGAGUUAGUGAAAUGUAAGGAAUUUCGGCCGCAUUAUUUGAAGCUUUAAGUCAAAAAGAGAGACGGUCUCUUCCGUUUGGUCUCUUCUCUCCACCCACCAUUUCUUUUUACUUUUGCUUCCUCAUUUCUACUUAUUUUUCUCAUUGCUCUUUUUAAAGAAUAAUAAUAAAAAAAAAGUGUUAAUAAACCUCUUCAUCAAAUGGUAUUAUCUUUGGUAAGGGUUUUGUCUAUUGAUAUAUUAUCAUUUGGGGCUAGGUGCUUUAUAUGUUAUUCUGUAAGUGUUCAAAUCUCGUUAAAAAGCAUAUGUUGAGAUUUCUGUAGUGGGUCCACUUCUUUAGGCAUCCAAUAAGAUGUUUCCACUCUGUUGAACAGUUUGGUUCAACUCAAUUCGAUUCUCGAUUUUUCUAUAUUAUUAUUUUUUGUUUUAGAAUUUUAGACUUAUUUUGACAAAAUGAACUUUGUUUCAAGGUUUUUGAAUAUUAUUUUACAAAAUCUCAUAGCCUUUUUCAUAAAUAUUUCUAAAAACAAUAAUUUUUCAACAACUUUUAAAUUGUUUUCACUAUUUUAAAUAUAGAGUAUUUACUUUUGUCAUAAAAUUAAAAUUUAUUAUAUAUUAAAUAAAAAAUAAACUUUAAUUUCGGAAAACCAUAAUUUUUAAGCUUACAAUCCAUUAACCGUCUAAACAACUCUAUCUAAGCCGAUUUUCAUUUUUUUUAUUCAACUGUACCAAAUGUAUUCAAGAACCUACCGAUUUUUGACAAAUGACACUUUAAAUAUUUUUCUCGAAUGAAUAAAAAAAUGUCGAAAAAGGAAAACUUGGUCUAAAAGGCAAAUGAUGUUUAUAAGAAGACUUAAAGAGGAAAACUAAUAAAAAGUUCAGAAGGAAGAGUGUAAAGUGAAAUGGUGUGGAAAAAAUAUCAAUUUUGAAAAAAAUAAAACGUGAUUCAUUUGAUUAGACCAAAUUAUAGAAAUUAAUGUUCUCUAAUUUCUUUCUCUUAAUGUGAACAUGAAUUGUAAUAUAUUAUUGUGUCAUUUUUAUGACUAUAACAUUAAUUACUUGGUUAUUUAAUUAUAUAUAUAUAUUCUUAGACUUAUAAUUUGAUACUUAAUUCAGUGUAAUUGUACAUAUAAAAUUUUAAUUUUGAUUCAAUCAUAUACAUUCAAAGAAAUAAAUAUAUUAAUUUAUUUUUAUAUUAGACAAAUAUAAUUAUAUAUAUAACAGUACUUUUGAGAAUUGAAUCAAAUUAAAUGUUUACAUCACAAAAUAAGUUAAAGAAUAAUAUUUGAUGCAUUGGGCUUGACAACACGACACAUUAAUUAUAAUUAUAAUGUUUUCUCAAGUUUUGAAUUUAGAAUUUAGGGUUUAGUUGGAGGUGGAUACAAGAGAGGCGGGUAGGAGCCUUGACCUCAAAAUGAUCAAAUUAUAAAUCAAUAUAGGGAAAAAUUAUGCUUUGACCCCCAUAAUGAAAAAAGAAAUUUUAUUCAAUCUUUUAAAAAAUUACAAAACCAUAAUUUAAUACAUGAUAAAAUAUAUAUUUGAUAUCUUAAAAUUUUGUAAUUCAAUUUCGACUCCCUAAAAGAAAUCUAAAUUCGCUCUUGGGUCUAGCGAUAAUAUUACAUUUCGAGUUUAGAGGUAAGAUUUUUUUUUCGAAAUAAAAGUUUAGGAUUUAAGGUUUAAAGUUUAGGGUUUAUGUUAAAAAAAAGUCCUAAAAUUUCUUGGUAUGCUUCUAUUUUUAUUUAAUUUCUUCAGCUUUUCCAAUUGGAGUCAAAAGAAGUAUAUGAAAAUGGGAACAGAAUCUAAGUUGGGAACUCAUUGGUGGUUGACAAUUAAAAUCCAUUUCAGUCUCACAACAAACCGAUUAGAAUAGAAUGUUGUAUUAAAAGUGGAUUCAAUUUAUAGUAAAAAACACAAGUGUUAGGUAUAGUAUAGCAUCAGCUAUGGCUAAUUGUUUUCUUAAUAAAAUACAAAAUAAUUUUUUUGGGUUGAAAUUAAAUUAUAUAUUUUUACGAUGGUAAAAAUAAAUUAUGCAUUUAUAAUUUUUAAAUGAUUAAAUUAAAUUUUUAUUAUUUUGGAGGAUCAAAGUGAAAUUUUAUUAUUAUUAAUUUAAAAUUUUAUAAAUUAUAAAGAGCGUAAACGAAAAAUUCUCUAUUUUAAGGAGCCGGGCCUUACCUGCUCCUUUGACUCGGAUACCACCAAAUUUCCACAUGAUUUUAGUUUUUUAAAGUGAAAUUUUGCAUUAUAUUUUUUAAAGAACAAAAGCAACUUUUCAUGUUAAAUAAUUAGGGGGGCAAAGAUACUAUUUUUUUUAGAGUUCUAAAUGAGCUUUUAUACCCGAAAUUAAAAUUUUUGAUUCGAGUGCACAAGUUGGAAUCUAAUUUCGAAGGUUGAGAGAAUAAAAUCGAGAAACACGUGGAUGGGUUUUUUUCGCAUGUAAAAAACUCAUGGUUAAUCAAACCCAAUUAAAUUUUAUUCUGAAUUAAUUUAUAAUUAUUUUGAAAAUUUUUAUUAUGUAAAAUUAAUAUUUUAUAUUUAGAAUUAGUGAAAUAAUUUAAAAUACUAUAUAAAAAUUAUUUUUUCCAAAUAUACAUAUUGAUUGUUUUUUAUUUACUUGAAAUUUUAAAAAAUAUAUUUAAAAUUUACCGAAUAAUAUUUAAAAAUCAUCAAAAAAAACUUAUUUUUUUCAAAAUAAAAUUAAAAAAUCCCACACUCUAAAAUUAAUGUGAAAAAUUGAGAACUAAGUUCAUAAAAUUCAAAAAACUGAAAACAACCUAACUCAACCCCAACAAUUCACAUGUUUGAAUUGAAUUAUGACUUUGAAAAAUGUAAAUACCAAAAUUGACCUAGUUCGGGGAUAAAAAUUAUAGGGUAAAAUAUACUAAUUAUCUCUAAAUUUUGUUUAAAAUUACAUUUCGGUUCCAACUUUCAAAAGUUAUAUAAUAGUCACUAACGUUACCAAAUUGUUACAAUUCUGUCACUUAGUUUAUAAGUUUCAUUAAAAAGGUAACAUUGCAUCUUAAGUCAAUGGGUUAAUAGUUAAUUUGGUCCCUGAGUUAUAGUUAAAAAAAUUAUUUUUAUGGUUUUAAAUUUUUCUUAACAAUAAUUAUAAAAAAAAAGAGAAAAAAAUUAAGAAAGAAGAGGGCAAGAGAGAAUGCCAAAAUGUUCUAUUAUACUGAUUGGGUUCUUUGAUAAGUUUCAAUUUUUUGAAAUUUGAUAUAUAUUUUUUAAUUUAUAAUACAAAGUGCCCAACUUUUCUAAAACCAUUAUUUCUUUUCUAUAACUUCAAUACUAAAUUGAGUGCGAUUUUGAGUAACUUCUAGUUUUAGAAUUUGAAUUUUUUAAAUUUAUAAUACAAAGUGUUAUUCUUCUGCUCUAAACGCACCUUUUUUUCUCUCAAAUUUCAAGUCAAGAUUUUACUUUUAGCUAUAAAUAAAACAUAUAUAUUAUUUUUAAUGGCCUUGGAAGAACGGAGUUGACGUUGGCAAAGAAAGAUGAAAAUGAAGAGAGUAUAAAACCAUAAAGUAAAUUAAAAAACAAGUAUGAUCAAAGUGAAUAGGUUUUUAAUGUUUUUCUUUGUAUGAAAGUUUGAAGAUUGUGAUUUUUUAUGAGAUUAGAUGUGGAAAAGUUAGCUACAAAAAUCUUUGUUUGUUCUUGUUGCAAUUGAUUUUUAUUUAUCCUUACAUUUUUUUUAAAACAAUUUUACAAUUAUUCUUAAGAAAAUUUUGAAAAUAUCAAAAUGAUUUUUAAACUAUAAUUCGAAGAUUAAAUUGACCAUUAACCCUUUCAUUUAAGAUGCAAUGUUACUUUUUUAAACGGAAGUUAACAACCAAGUGAUAAAAAUGUAACAAUUUAAAAACGUUAAUGACUAUUAUGUAAUGUUUUAAAAUUAGAUAACUGAAAUGUAAUUUUAAAUAAAAUUUAAUAUAGUUUAUCCCAUUUUUUAAUGAUAAGUGUAUAUAUUAGAUGCAGAAAAUUGGCGCAUCAUAUUUGGGUUCACAUUCAACAUUCAACAACCAACAAUUUUGGUUUUUUAUUUAAGAAAAACAUGUGACUAUUUAACUUCAUGUCACCUGUUUAUUCUAUUUUUAUUUAUUAUUGGUUUAAACCAAGCUUUCAAUCAAUUGGCAUUUUAAUUUAAAUAUAUACAAUCUGUUUUUAAUUCAAAUUUAUGAUGUCUUUUGUAACCAAAAUUAUUCAUUUUUUAUUUUUCUAAAAUAUAAUAAUAAAGAAUAUAUUUCAUUUAAAAUAUAAAAAAAAUUAAUAUUUAAUUCACUAACCAUAUAAAAUGUGUAGUAAUAAAGAAAAAAAAAACUUAGGAAAUGUGAAAUAAGAUUGCCCAAUAAUUAAUUGGGCUGAGUGGAACUCAAUUCCACCAUAUGCGAAUGGGAUUUUUAUAUUGUACUUAUAACUGUAAGUCUGUAACUUUAAAAAUAUCAAAAUAAAAACCUUGAAAAAAAUAUUAAUUUAAAACCAUGUGAAAAGUUGUAGUUAAAUUAUACGUAAUUAAUAUAAAGCUGGUAAAUGGUCCAUUUAUAUCAUGCAUGUUGAAAACGGGGUAAAGUUAAAUUAGAAUUAAAUUAUAUAUUUUUAUGAUAAUAAAAAUAUAAUUCUAUUAUUUUAAUAAUCUAUAUCUUUAUAACCUUUAGAAGAUUAAGUCAAUUUUUUUUUAUCAUUUUUAGGGGACUAAAGUGUAAUUUUAUCAUUAUUAAUUUAAAUUUUAUAAAUUAUAAAGAGCCUAAAUAAAAAGUUUUUCAUUUUAGAGGAGAUCGCCUUGCCAAUCUCUCUUAAAUCUACCCCUGGUUUUCAAGUUUUUACAUUUGACUUUUUUUUUUGGAUUAAUGGUACAAUUAUAAUAUUAAGUACAAAAAUGAAAAUUUAAAUAUAUCUAAACUCAAAUAAGAAUAAAUUUAAAAUAAAAAUUCACAUAAUAUAUAAUAAAAUUCAAACUUGAAAGCUUAAAAAUUAAUAUGUAUUAUAGAUAUAAUAUCAAUGCGUUUAAAAGAUACUACGUAGUUAAAAGAAAACAUAUCUUGCCAUAUGUUAAGCUGUUAAUUAAAUUAAUGUCAUGAAUCAAUUACACAUUAAUAGUUAAAAUACUUAAUUAAUUAAUAGUUAAAAUACUAUUGCUUUACAAAUUAAAUUAUAUUACUUUAAAGGUAUUUUUAUUUUUAUUUUAUAUAUUUAUAUAAAAGGAAAAAUGAAUACAUAUACUAAAAUUUAAACUCAAUUCCUCUACCAUUUCAAUCAAAAUCUCAUUUAUUUUUAUAUUAUUUUUUAAUAAAUAUAUAUUUAUUACAUAAUUUCGUUUUUCACCCACAUUGCGAAUAUGAACGCCAUGAUCUAAUAUUUGUUAUAUCAUUUUAAUAUGCUUAUGGAUAUUUGUACUCAUAUGAUCAUUAAUCCAACUUUUAGUAAUAAAAGUACUAUGAAGGCCCCUAUAUUAAGAGUAAGAAUCGAAUUGCAUUUUUUUUCCUCUAUUAAAACUGAACAAAUUAUCCGUUAAAUCAAAAAAUAAAUCAAUCUUUCUAUUAAAAAUUCAAUCCAUUUCUAUUAUUAAAAACUAGUCCUUGUACGUCAACAUAAUAGACACAUAGUACGUUUUUUAACACUACAAAUGAAAAAAAUUAAUAGAUAGAACCAAAUUGCCAUUUAAACUAACAUGGUCUAAUUGACCAAUUUGCCAUGACACUUCUAUCACUUUUAACUGAACCAAAAAAAGUCUAGAAAAGAAAUUGAAAGACCCAAAAACAAUAUUUGCUAAACUAAAUUAGUUUUAUAAACUUUAAAUUUUUUAAACAAUUCAUGUUUUAAGCAAUUUGGAUGUAAAAUUUCAAAUCCAUCAUUAAUUAAAAGCAUUUUACAUCCAACAAAUAAUUAAACAUUUACCUGAAAAAGCAAUUUAACAAGAUCCUAAAAGAAGAAAAAGACAUUUUAAAAUUCAAUAAUUGUUUCACCACACAUUCAACUAAAUAAUCAAGGAAGAACAGAUUGAACAAAAGGCAACAACGACCACCACAGGAUACAAGAAAUAAUACAGAUAAGUAGACCAAUCAAUGCUACAAUACAAGGCAAACAACCAAGAUCCAAUAAUAUAAUAAUAAAACUUGAGAGAGGGGCAAAAAAAUGGCUGCCAAUCAUUUAGAAAGUUAGCUACAUUCAUCUACUUUAGUAGGUACUGAAAGAUUGGUUUCUAACAUAAAUGAUAGAUCAUGCAUUUGUGACAUCAAUACCUCUAUUUCUUCAGCUUUUGAACCUCCUGUUGUUGCAUUGGAGAAAUCUUCAUCAGCCAUCCUGAAACAUGUGAAAGCAAAUAUGAGAAAUCUCCUCAGAUUUUCAGAUCUUCCCAUAUUCGUGGAGUCGUCACCCCGUACCUUAGAAAAAAAAGGGAUAAAUAUAAAAACUGUACAUGAACUUUAAACCAAAGUGCAUUGUCAUACAUGAACUUUGAUUUUGUGCAAUUUUAUACAUGAAAUUUUAAUUUGAUUUAAUUUUCACAAAUCACAAAUAAUAUUAUUGAAUUAAAACCAUUUUAUGUUGAUAUAUUACAUUCACAAACAAUUAUAUUAAUCCUGCAUGAAAAUAAAUGAAUGUAUUCAUUUUUUUAAAUGUGUACAAUUGAAUCGAGAUCAAAAUUUCAUGUAUAUAAUUGCACCAAAAUCAAAAUUCAUGUAUCAAAUUACACAUUGAACCAUAGUUCAUGUAUAAAUUUGAUAUUUAUCCCUAGAAAAAAUAAGAGUCCAGUCACCAUAUAAAACUAACAAAACAU